Molecule: long non-coding RNA, 61210 nt
Filed under: Citrus sinensis (sweet orange)
Lineage: Eukaryota; Viridiplantae; Streptophyta; Magnoliopsida; Sapindales; Rutaceae
Description: long non-coding RNA (CSIN_LNC002323)
Source: RNAcentral
CAGUAAGAUGUGUUUGGUUCAAGUAUAAAAUGAUGGGAUUGGACAAUUUUAAGAUUAAAUAAUCCUAAUGCAAUGUUUGGUACCAAAAAUAAUUGUGGGAUAAAAAUAGUGGACCCCACCAUUUAAUCCAACACAAUGUCAAAAUUUUAUCACAAAGGGGGGUGUGGGAUAAGCUAAAACUUAAACGUAGGAUAACAAAAAAAAAGCCCAAAAUUUUAUACAACACAGUGAUUUUUUUUUUUUUUUGAGUAUGUCAUCAUCCAAUGAUAGUAUAUAUGCCAGAACACUCUUUUGACGUUAAUGAUAUGUAAUAUUUUCAUAUAUACAGCUAGUGACAUUGUUAUGUAAUUUCUUUUUCAUUUAUAGAUUUAUAUUAUUAUUAUAUUUGUUGAUGAUAUUCUUGUUAUGUUUAUAAUUAUAUUAUUUAGUAAUUUAUAAGUUUAAAAACUAUAACAUGUUAAAUAUAAGAAAAACUUUAAGCGAAGAUUUUGUAUUUUUUAACAAAUUUACCAAUAAUUUUUUAUUUAAGUUAGAUUAUAUUCCAUGUCAUUUUAAAAUAAAUCUAAGAUAAUUUUGAUAAAUUAAUAAAUAAGACAUAUUAUUAGUUACUAACCAAUUUCAUGGCAUACCAAACAUGAGAUAUGAUUAUUUACAGUCUAAUCCAACAUUGCACCAAACGUAAUAGAGUAUUAUAUAUAAUCCAAUGUUAUCAAAUCCAAUCAUAUCUUAUCCAAUCCGAUCCGAUCCAGUCUAAUCCAAUUUGACAUACCAAACAAGCCCUAAUUAUGUUAAAAACUACAUCAUUACCAAACUGACCCUUAAUACAAUCUCAUACAUACAUACAUAUAUAUAUAUAUAUUAAAAAUUAAAAAUUAUCUUUAUUUAGUUAGGAAAUAAAACCAUUAUAUUUAAAUAGAUUAAUAUUAUUACUAAUUAUAUUCAGAUAACAAAAUUAAUAAAAUAAAAAUAUUUGUUUGAUUUAUCAAUUAUUAUACACACAUAUUUAUAAAUGCAUGCGUAAAUAAAAUUUUAUAGAUUUAGGCCAAGGCGGAUGUACGGUACAGCAGUAUCUUUAUUUAGUUAGGAAAUAAAACCAUUAUAUUUAAAUAGAUUAAUAUUAUUACUAAUUAUAUUCAGAUAACAAAAUUAAUAAAAUAAAAAUAUUUGUUUGAUUUAUCAAUUAUUAUACACACAUAUUUAUAAAUGCAUGCGUAAAUAAAAUUUUAUAGAUUUAUGUCUAUUUAAAUCAUUUGCAUUCUUAUAACAUUUUAAAAAAAGAAAAGAAAAGUGAUUUACCAAAUACAUGUAAUUGUUCUUCAAACUUACAACACUUUUAAAAUAGAAUUUAAUAAAUGUUUAAUUAAUUUUUUCACAGCUGAUUAUUUUUAUGGUAUAACUAACAAUAAUCUAUAAACUUAUGGUAAAUAUUUGUGUGAAUGUUGGUCCAUGUAAAGAAGUAAAAACAACGCAUAUAUCAAGCAAUAAGAUAUCAAAACUCUUAGUAAAAUACAUAUACUAAUGAAAGAAUGACAGCAAUGCAAUAAAUAAGAUUAUAAUAUAAAUUAUUAAAAUUGUAUAUUAAAAAUUGAUGUAUGAAAUUCUUUUUAUUUUAGUGAUAGAUAAUGUGAUAUAUUUGAAUAAUUUGAUUAAAUGAAAAGAAAAAUAACAAGUAUGGUUGUGGAGGAAAUAAACCAUUGAACUGUGGAAUGUUAUUAAUUAUUGCUAUUUCAUUAUGUAACGUCCUGAUAAUAAGUACAGUGUUAUAGUAUAUUGAUGGGUGGUGAUAUUGUCACCCCUUAAAUUGUGUAAAGUCAACCUCAUUUACAAAUUUUUUGAUAUAAAUUAAAAAGUACAUUAGUUUUAAUAAAUUAUAUAUUUAUUGAAUAAACUAGAACCGUUAGGGAGCUGUAAUGUUAGCACUGUUUUAACUUAUUAUAAAAAAAAAAGUUAUGAUUUGAUCAUAACUCUAAUUUAGAAAAGAAAAAAGAGUUGAAUUGCUAACAUACUUAAAAAUAAAAUAAAAACAUUAUUAUUAGAUGAAAAAUUGUAAAACUUAAGGGGGCAUUUGCAAGUCCGCCACUACUCAAUAGAGCAUUAUUCAGUACUCGUUAAUAUAUCUCGAACUUUUAGGUUUUUUUAAUAUAUUUUUAAUACAUUUUCUAGAACAUUUAGAUAAAAAGAGUCAGUACUCCAAUUGAGUUGUGAAUAAACAUUUAGAUAAAAAGAGUCAAUACUCCAAUUGAGUUGUGAAUAAACUCAUGUUAAAAAAAAAAAAACUCAUUUUCACACUUGAAACGAUUAGUAAAUGGGUGAUACGAAUUUAACUUGGUCAAUAAUAUAUACCAUCUUAAGUUAACUUCAACUCAUUGAUCUUCUAUAGGGUUGAUCAGCCUGCCACAAGGCCCACAAAUUAUCACCUCUAAUGCUUUUGCAACAGUCGUUAUAAAUGCUGACAAAAUGAAACUUCUAUAUAUUUUGGUUUUUUUUUAUUUCUAUGAAAUAUAAGGCCCUUAUGGCAAAUUUCCAUCCAGCGUGAAAUUUGCUAGUUUGGCCUUGGUACUGUGGCACAUGCGUCAUGCAUGCGUGGCUGAGAUGCUUCUAAAACUAAUAAAUUAUGAAGAAUUCCAAAUUCGUACCAAAAAUAAGAGAAUAGGAGCUUGUCAUAGGUGUCCGCGGAUCGGAUUUUAUGGGUUAAACAUUAAUUCAUAUUUGAUUCGUGAUUUUGUAGAUUAUAAAUUUUUAAUUUAAUUCAAUUUAUGGAUUAGUGAAACUCAAUACAAAUUCAAUCCAUAUAUAUGCAAAUUAGAUGCGGAUUUAACCCAAUGCAUAUUCAAUCCAUCAUUUGGCGGAUUGAUUUGCAAAUUAAAAGUUUUUAAUUUUGUCCAAUCUAAAAAGUAAUUAAAUUAAAAAAAUCUAAUAUAUAAAUAAUUGAUUAAAUAAAAAAAUCUAAUGUAAAAAUAAUUUUACUACCAAUUAAAUUCAAAAUUGAACAAGAUUUAAAUAAAUUUAGAAUAAUACAUUCAAAAUUUUAAAAUAUAACACACCGAAAAAAAAAUUCAUUUAUUUAGAUCAAUACAUGAAAAUUAACUAAAAUUAUGAAUUUAAAUGUUGAAACUUGAAAGCUUGGAUGUAACAGGAAGAAUUUAAGAAACUUGAAGAGCUUGAAAAGAAAGUAAGAAAUUAAGUUUAAUUACCUCAAGUGGUGAAGUGAAACAGUGAUUGGCUUGUGCGUGCGGUGGGAUAGAGAUUUGGUGUUAUAUGUCAAAAUAUUUUGUUUGGCUUGGGGUUUUUGUUUUGCUUUAGAAAUUUUAAUGUUUAGGAAACUAUAUUUGCUUAUUUAAUUAUUUCUUAUUUUAUAUUGUUAUCGAAUAAAAUAUAAUAUUUUGUUAAUUUAGCUAUAAUUUUAUGCUGAAUAUAUUUAUUUAAAACGAUUUUAUUAAAUAAAUGUGCAUAUUUAACGAAGGUCUCUGAAAUUUCAACCUGCCUGCUAAUGAUAGCCAAUACGGCACGACCCACCAAAUGUCGGCCCACGCGGGCUUGUGGGCCAUGACGACUUUUUUUGUAAGGGCCCGGCACGGCCCACGGCACGAGUCCGUGCCCAAAAAAAGCCCACCUACCUUUUUUUUUUUUGUCCACAUGUUCAGCGUGCCUAAAAAAACCCACGUGCCUGACGUGCUUUUUUAAGCCCACCAGCCUAAUAGUAACAACAACAACAACAAUAAUAAUAAUUUCAUAGAAAUAAUUAAUGAAAAAUAAAAUAACAAUUCUAGAAUAACAAUUACAUCUAAUUUUAUUUGAACAACUAAUAUUAUAAUUGCACAUAAACUCUAUUGAAUGAAAAUGUAAUUUUUAAUUUAUUAUAAAAAUAUUUUGUUCAUAAUUUUAUUUUUUUGUGCGUAAAUAUGAAAAAUAUUUCAUUCACAAAUGAAACAUAUCUCCAUUAACUAUUAACUAAGUUAUGAUUUCAUAAAUGAAAUAUUAAUGUCGUAAAAUUUUUUAUUUAUCAUUUAUAAAAUCAUGAUAUUUAUUUAUCCAUUUAAUAAAUUAUAAACAUAAAAAAAUUAGAAUACUUAUUUAAACUAGGACUUAAAUUAAUUUUAAAAAGCCUAUACUAAAAAAAUAUAUUAAAAUUUUUAAUUUCAAGGUAUUUAUAAAAUCAUGAUAUUUUAUAUUUAUUUUUCAUUAAAAAAUUUUAUUUUGAUAUACUUUGGCCCACGUGCUAUUGGUGGCCCACGGGCCGCGUGCUUAGCCCACCAAUAAAGUGUGCUUAUUACAUGCCUUUUCGCGUGCCGUGUUUUGCCCCAUCUCUAAUCAUACCGUGCUUUUAAGGCCUGCGUGCCUAAAAUUCUAGGCCCGCCAGCCGUGCCGUGCCGUGCCGUGCCUCGUGCCGCCUGGCCCAUUGGCCAUCCCUACUGCCCGCCAACCACAUUUGUCCAAGAUCAAUUUGUAGGAAAAAAAUUUGAAAAUCAAUAAUUUAUUUAAUUAAUUGUUAAUGUAGGCAUUUGAAUCCCCACAAAAUCUGGGUGUCAGUUCUAGACUUCUGGUGAUAUAUUUUUCUAAUUAAGGAAUAAAAUAUUUUUGUCAUUUUUUUAAUAUUUUAAUUUACCAGGCAUAUCAACUAAUUAAUUUUUCUACUUAGACUAUUAAUUCAUUACGUGCGCAAUCUGUAGCCCGGCGCUCCAAUCCCAUGCAUGUUACACACAACUCAAUCAUUAUUUAUUUAUUUAUUUAUUUUGACCAACAACUCAAUGUUUUUUAUAGAGCUGUCAAAAUUUGACACGACCCGAUUACCCGACACGAACACGACAUAAAUAAAUGGGUAUGGGUCGUCAAAUUUAACACGAUUAUUAAAUGGGUCGGGUCCGGGUCAACACGAUUUUUUUCCGUGUCGGGUUUUGGGUUAAAAUUCUUGACCCAUUUACCCGAUCAAUGACCCGAUUAUAUUUUCUAUUUUAAAAUAAUUUACAUAUUCUUAUAAUUAAAACUCAAAUAUUAGAGAUGAUUUUCUUUUUUUUUAUUCUUUAAAAGGGUGAUAUAUUUUAUAAUAUCGAUAAAUUAUGUAUGUAUGUAUUUAUGUACAUACGUAUGUAUGAUAGUGUGGAAAUAUUUUAUGUAACUUUUGUUCAAUAUAUAGAUAUUAAACGGGUUAUUGGGUAACCCGAUUAUUUUUCCGUGUCGGGUUUGGGUCUCAAUAUUUUGACACGAUUAUUAAAUGGGUCGGGUUUGGGUCGACCUAAAUUUGACACGACACGAAACUGACACGACAUGAACACGACCCGAUGACCCGUUUUGCCAGCUCUAGUUUUUUAAUAUGAAAAGGUAUUGGUUAGCUUUGUCUUUAGUUUUUUCAACUUAUAAUAAGUUUGUAUUAAGGCUCCCUUUGGUACAGAUUUUCAAGUAAAACUUAUUUAGGGUUAUUUUUAGGGACCUCCCCUGAGGUUUGGUGUAUUAACAAUCUGAUAGAAAGUAUUCACGUAAUUACAAAGACCUCCCCUGACAUUUGUAUUAUGUUAAGUGGACUGUUAUUGACUAUUGAAAAUCCAAAAAUACCCUUCCUGCCAAAAUAUUUCUUUAUUCACUGAUGAACUGAUGGGUAAUUCGUGCCAAAAUCACAAAUUACUUAAGAAGAUGAAAAUAUCCAUUGGAUAAAAAAAAUGAAAUUGCUUAAUAAAAAAAUUGACAUUGCAUAAUAAUAAAAAAAAUUGAAAUAAUGUGCGGCGGCAUAGCUGCAUCUUGCAUGCAUAUUAUUAUUGUGAUUUUUUUAUUACAAACUCCAUCCUGCAUGCUUAUUAUUAUUGUGAUUUUUUUUAUUACAAACUACUUCAUAACUAAUACAUGCCACAAGAGCAGAGCUAUUAAAAGAAAUGAUUUUCAUAUUGUAAACUUGAUAGUACAGGUGUUGGCACCGACCAUAAAACCCUUAUGAUACCAAUCUUUGCUCCAUCCAUAUUUAAAUCCAGAUCAAGUAAAUAUUAAAUUGGAUUUCAGGUCCUGAAAAUCCCACUCUAUAAUUGAUAUCUUCGAGUUUUGUUGGUGCCUCAAACCUGGAUCUAGAGCAUCAUCUCUGUCAUACUCGGAACACCUAAACUAAUGGACUUGCUGCAGCUGCUUAUUCUUCUUCUGAAAUGAUGCACGCAGAUAGAUUACAGACUUUGAAAUAAGAAAUACAAUAAACAACAUGUAAUCGAACUUAAGAUUUCGGCAAACUUGUUUGAAAAUUAGAAUCAAACAAGGAAAAUGGCAAGUCAAUAUUUUUUAAUCUAGAAAAAGGGCAAUUUCAAAGUUUAUCACAUGCCAAAUUCAUAGUCUUGCAUCCACUAUUUUCUAGUUUGAAUAACAAACAAAAGCCUUAGACAAAAACACAGAGAACAUCUCACAUGGGAGCAAAAAUUGUGUGUAGAACAAUAUACUUAAGUUACAUGUGAUUACAAUCACAUUAUUUAGCAAAUACAAAAUUACCUUCUCAAAAAAAAAAAAAAAAAAAAAAACACCACCAAAUUAUUGAAGGUAUUACAACAAUAAGGCAAAAGAACACCAAAGGCAUGCACAAACCGAAACUAACACACAACUCAAUUAGUGUCAUGACCCCAAACUGAACAAUCAUAUAAACCAUUGUGGGCUCUCUAAAAGAUUAUCACAUUAUAAGCAAACAGAAACCUAUAUUUGAUGAACUACAUCUAGUACUUACACAACUCUUAAAUCAUUAGGAAAUUGCUCUUAUCAGUCAUUACCCAAUAGUUUUUUUCAACUCAACACUAACAACCCCAAAGAGAAACAACAUCCAGCACCAUUUUCAUUAAUUAAAACAGACCCAUUGUUAUUUUUAAUCAAUAAAAUAACAACAAUAUCGUGUAAGCCACUGAUUCAAGCAUUCAAGCUGUGUUUUCGAAGACUGACCUCUUCUUGCUAUCUAAUUCCAGUCACGAUAGACGCUAGAUGCCGGCAAUACUCGCUUCUUGGAAGCUCUGGACCACCGCACGACGUCAUCUUGUGCAGUAGAUGAAAAUAAAUCAAUGAUUUCAGAAAUUAUUUGUGAGUUGCAGACGCUUCUUCUCCAUGGAUGAAAAUGAUGGUGGGUUUUGUUCAAGUGUAAGCUGUGUUUACGAGGAGAAGUACACUUUGUGAAAAAAUCAUUUUCUUUCAUCUACUGGAUAAUGACUUUGGACUGGGUAAUGGUGUGUUUAAGUCUCUAUUUCACGGACAUUGAAGCAUAUUUUGCUUGAAUUUUGAUUUUGUUUAAAUUUCAAGUUUACUUUUACUUGUUUACCCUUUUAUACUGACGCUUAUGUAUUUUUAUACUAACGUUAAGGGAGGUCUUUGUAAUUAUAUGAAUACUUUCUAUCAGACUGUUAAUACAACAAACCUCAGGGGAGGUCCCUAAAAAUAACCCAACUUAUUUAAAUAGAACUUUUACAAAAAAAAAUUUAGUUAUUUGGUUGUCAAUAAACUUUUCAAGUAUACUUUGUUUGGUACAGCUUUUCAAGUAAAACUUAUUUAAGUAGAGCUUUUACAAAAAAAAAAAAAUUAGUUGUUUGGUUGUCAAUAAAAAUUUUUAUUAAAAAAAAUAUGAAAUUACUUUAUUAGUCAAGUUUUUUUAAAGUUAUGCUAUGAAAAGAAUAAAAUAAGAUUGUCAAAUAAAUAGAAAAUAUUUUAAAUAUUUUAACAUUUAAAAAAACUUUUUAACCUUUAUUUUCAAAAAUCUAAAAUUUAAACUUUUACUAGUAAAGGCAAAAUAAUUUAUUUAAACUUCAAAAGCUUUAUUAGAAAAAUAAUCAAACAAUAACAAAAAUUAUUAUAAAAGCUUAUCGAAUUAAAUAAGUACUUAUAGUUAUUAAAGAAGUUAUAUCUAACAGACACUAAUGCCGAAAGCCCCUUCUAAUUGUGGGUGUAAAAGUUUGAAUUAUGCAUACGGUUAAGGAGUUAAGGUGUGUUUGGCAACUGCAUUAAGUGGAAAUUUUUAUUUUGUUUCGAAUAAAAAUACAGCAAGCUCGUGUUCGGCUCAAAAUAAUGGAACGUUUAAUUUGCAACCGUCGGCGGACGAAGCACACCGUUCACGGCCCUUCGUAUAAAAUUGCAUAUGUAAACGUAAAUAGGUCCGGAUUCAGAUUCGUUGCUGUAGAGAGUGGCACGCACGAUCGGGCUGCUGUCGGUGGUAGGUUGGCAUUGGAAUUCUCAUCACGCGCUUCCCCAGGCGCCUACUUAUGGCAAAUUGACACGUGACGCGUGUGGAUUGAAUGGACAGAGUCCCGGGCAGUGUGUCCAAAGCUGCCAACCGUGCUCUGAUUUUUGUCAUCCAUAAUGGCUAACGACUAACGAGGGAGAUUUCCGGGCAGAAAGAAAUUGUUGUCGUUUCUGAAGGGGAAAAAAAAGUUAUUUAAUUUGUUGUUGAAGACAAAAUGAAGAUCUAAAUAAAUAAUGGCUAAUUUUGAGUGUAAAGCAACGGUAAAUGCAUUAUUAAAUUAGAUUUAGGGUCUGAUUGAGAUUAUUUUUAGAUUUAAAAUUAAUUUUGAAAAGUUAAAAUUAAUUUUGAUGUUUAUUAAUUUUUAUUAAAAAUUAUUUUUGUCAAAAUCUCUCAUCCUCCAGCAUAUUAUAAAAAAUAAGGAAGAAAUAAUUUUUUAAAAUUUAAUUUUAAGAAUCAGUUUUAUACUUAAUAUAAUCCACAUAUAUCCUCGUAAAUAUUAUAAAAAUUUAAAAUUAUUCUUAUUUAUUUAGGAUAUAAAAUUAUUAAAUUCAAACAUAUUAUUAUUAUUAUUAUUAUUGUUAUUAUUAUUAUUAUUAUUAUAAAUUCACACACGCACACACAUACUUAUAAAUUUAUAAAUAAACUUUAUUUAACAUUUUGUUCACUUAAAUCAUUUAUAUUCUUAUAGCAGUUUAACAUUAUGAUUUACCAAACACAGAUAAUUAUUUUUAAAAUCCAUAAUAUUUUUUAAAAUAAAUUUUAAUAAAUGUUUAACUUAUUAUUCUGACAACUGAUUUUUUUUGUAAGGUAUAACCAUUAAUAAUAAAUAUUUUAAAAGUUACAGUAUCCCCAAAUUGGCCCUUACUAAUACUCUGCGUUGCCAACUAAAUACUAAUUGUAACAUUAAACAUCUGGAAUAUUUUUCUCUAACGAAACAACACAAUUAAUUUCCCUCUAAAAAAGAAAAAGAAAAAGAAAAAAUAAACUACCAACCCCACCCCUUUAGACAGCAGAGUUUUAGCUGAGGCGGCUUGCUUGCAUAAGCAUUAAGGCUGCUCUUCACCAACCAUUGAACAUUCUUUCCAUUUGAUUGUUACACUUUACUUCGCCAUCUCAUGUCCAUGUACAUUGUUUUGAAAUGAAGACUUUGCGUACAACUAAUCUUUUUCAAUUCAUAAUAAAAACUCUUUUAAUUAGUUAAUAGCUAUAGCUUCCAAUUGAGACUAUAUAUAAAAAUCCAUAUUGACUGACCAAACCAAUAAUUUUUAAUUGGCUUGAGCAUUGUCUUACUUACUUCAAAAUCGUCACUCUCUUUGAAAAGAACAUGAGAGAGUUCACCUCCAUCUCAACCCUUAACCCUAUAUCUCAGUCAAGAGAUUAUUCAUGGAAAAUUCAGAAAAAAGAAAUGUUGCAAUAUUUACGAAACUCACGUCACGUGAGGUAAGAUAAAUUAUUCCUUUCUGCUUUAAUUCAUGUACAUAAUCAUGAGAAUAACUUUAAUUAUAGUUUAUUUCUCCGUUUUAAGAUUUUUCCUUUUUUUUUUUUAAUUAAUUAAUUAUAGUUCAUUCAUUAAUCCCAUAAGAAAUUAACACCUUUGCCGGUAAAGUCACACAUACAACAAUAUUUUAGAACAAAAGGGAAGAUCAUGCACGAUCAUGAUGUUUUAUUAUAUCUCUAGCAAUAUAAUUAUCUUAUAAUUAAUUAAAAACAAAACAGGUAAUUAAGCCAAAGUGGAUGGCAUGCAUCAAUCAUCAUGCAGAACACCUCCCCUUGUUUUAAAUAUAAAUAAAAGAAAUUUGUGCCCAGAAGACUUAAUUAAUACUUCUCGUUUCUGAAGUGCUCACAUGAUAUAUAGUCGGACGCAUUAUAUUUAAUUUCAUGAAUUAAUCGUACGGUUGUAUUUUGAGAGAGAGAGAGAGAGAGAGAGUGACUGAGUAAGAUAUGGCUUAAUUUAACCAAAUCUACGUAUAAAAUUUUAAAAUGAAUUUUUGAGUUUUAACUUAGGAAUUGUCUAUGAAUAAAAGUGUUAAUCAAAUAUUUCGUGUAAAAACAGUCAGCUGUAACAUUUUCGGUUGCUUUAACAAAACUGUAUAUUUCUGUAAUUUCCUAUAUGGGCCAAAAGGAACAUUUUUCUCAGAAAUUAAAAACUUAUGGUGAAAAAGAUAAGAAAACCAACAGGUUCAAAGGUGCGAGUAAACUGGGCUCUGGUGCGCCCAACUCCCUCUUUUGAUUUUGAGACUCUAUUGACCAUUGAGUUUGAGGCCCCAACGGCCCAGUUUAAAACUGUUAUGAAAAGAAAAAAAAUAUAACUAUAAAAUUAAAAUUAAUAAUGUUUGAUAAAUAUAAUUUUUAAAUAAUAAUUUGACAAAAAUAAUAUAGGGUCUUGUGUAUAUUUUUAUUUGGCAUUUCAAUUAAUCUGCUUAUAUAUAUAUAUAUAUAAGUUAAUCUAUAUUUCUUGCAAGAAGAUAGUAUUUCUUUAAUUAAAGUCAUAACUAAUAUAUAAAUUAUCAACUAACCAUCAAACAUUUAUCUCAUUUUAUCUCCACCACGAUCAUCACCAUUCAUCCUGUCACGAUCUUUAUGUAACUACAAUUAUUUUUUCUUUAAUAAUGUCAACCCACCAACCCCAUAACAAUAUCUCCAAACAUCUCAUCUCAAAAUUCCUAAUAACAUAAGUGUUUAUGUAUGAAAGAAAAUGUGAAAUAUAUAAUCAAAAAGUAGUUUAAUAAUAUAAUGUUUAAAAAUUAUGGUAAAAAUAAGUGAGAGUUUGGCAUGGCAAGUUAAUAAAAAGAUAAAAGCUCGGACACUUGAUGCAUCAAAGUAGCAAUGUCUGUCCAUCAUUAUCAUCAUGCGGGUUUAGGUGCUUCUCAUGAUAGCAUUAGCUGGUAAGACCAUCAUGCAUCGUACUUUCAUUGUUAUACAUUUUGAAGGUAAGAAUGGUUAUGUUACGUCCCUCCGAUUAGGUGUAUUUUUCUUCUUCUUCUUCUUCUUUUUCUUCUUCUUGUACGUAAUAAUUUCUCUUUCUUCCAUGAAGAUUUCUUUCUCUCUUUCUUUUUUUUUUUUUUAUUAUAAAUAAAAUGAUAAGAACUAAUUUCCUUACUAAUUGGUAGGGUCGUUUAAUGGUUCAGAUCCAUUAGAUUUUGUCAAAUUCAAGUCCAAUCCAUCAUAUAUUCCAUUUUAUAUUCCGGAUCCGAUCACUAAUAGAAAUCCAUUAUAAUUUAAAACAAUAAAACGUCGAAUCCAAUUUAAUUCGAUAUGAUCAAUCCAAUUAAAAUAAAAAUUUACAAAUAAAAAUCAUUAGUUGCUCUCUCCAGUUAUAAUUCUUAACAAUUAAAAAAAAUACAAAAUAUCAACUCCUUUAAUAUUUCAUGAUUCAUGUACUUUAUUAUCAUAUGGUUGGAAAAAAAAGUUGAAAUUUGAAUAUUAAAAGCAAAUGUUGGUUGCGACCUGCUGUUUGUAUUCUAUAUUGUUAUAGUAUAUUUAUAGUUAUUUUUUUAGCAAGUUAAAUAUAAAAGUGACAUAUAGUUUUUUUUUAUAAAAAAAAAUAAAUAAAGAAAAUAAAAAAUUAAUUGGUUGGAUUGGUUUAUAUUGGAUUUGAACAUAUAGAUCCAUAGACCAAUCUAAUAACAUUAUAUUUUUUAUUUUGCAAUCUUAUCCAAUCCAAUCAAAAUGUCAAUAUGACAAAAGUUGGAUUGGUUUUGAUCAGAUCGAUUGGUUUGAUUGGAUUGAAUUGAAUUAGAUCUUGAACAUCCUACCAAUUAGACUUUCCGUGAUUUUUUUUUUUCCAAAUUUAAUAAAGAGACUUCCCAUGAAUGUUAAAUGCAGUUUUAUUGAUGAAUUCUGCAAUUUUAAGAAAUGUUUGAUACACGAAUAAUGCAUCUCAUCAACCAAGUAACUGCGUCCCCUGCAGCAGCCGCGGCUUCAACUGGAAUACUGCAGCCACACCGGUCUUGAGACUCAACAUUCGGCCGAAACUCAAGCAAAAGUUGAACAAUAUCAGGCCUGCUUUGAGCUAUAGCAAUAUGAAGCAAUGUUUGUCCCUGCGCACCAGCAGAAUCAGCUGGGUGGGUUCCAAGCAGGGUCACUCUGUUCAAGAACCUCUCUUAUCUCAUCCAUUUCACCAUCCUUAACUAGCUGAACCACAACAUGGGACCCAACAAACAUGAUCUUGAUUCCUAUUGAUGAACGCUGGCUUCUUCCUUCUUGUGAACCAGUCACCAGGAACCGAAUCAAGCAUCAAUGUUGCAUCUUUAAUUGCAGCUGCAGGAACGACAACGCUAUGCAAGAGGAAGGAAUCAUCACAGUGAGGGAAAGUAUGAAGGAGAACUGAUCCUGGAGGAAGAUGAUACGCAAUCUCUAUGCUUACUGUUCCGAGUGGUUGCAUUGACCUGAAUAGUUCGAUCUAUUUCUCGUGUAUCUACUUGCGCUGCACUUUCACUCGAAGAACCUACAAAAUUAUUCAUAACCCGGCAUAAAAAAGACGUAAAGUUUUCAGCGCGAGCAUGGUAACUUCAAAACCCGUUUCAUACCUAUCAUAUUUCAUUCGUCCCGCACCCUCAUUUAAAAGACUAGAGCUUAUAAAAACUAGAAGUACCUUACCCAGAACAUAAAAGCAGACAAAACCCAGUCGAGUAUAAAUAUAACGUUGAAUAACACCUACCAUUUACCAUUUCAUUCAAGAACACCACACAAUUAACGAAACCAACAUCGGUAUGUUUUCAGCCGUUGUACUUUCAACUUAAUUUUGAAAGCGCGGCAGCUAAAGCCUAAACUGUUGUUUGAUAAAAGUCCACCCACUGACUGCUACCUGGCGGCUACCGAUUCCAUUCAAUAGCAGUCAUAAAAUAAAAAGUACAAAACAAACCUAUGUACAAAAAAGGCAAUGAAGCAGCCAUGGAUUCAGUUAUUUGCAUGUUUGGGAUUGUGGUUGAUUCCAAAUUGAGAAUAUACUGCGAAAUUAUGUUUGAUAAGCAUUUAUCUGAUGAUUGCUACUUUAUUGAGUGCCUGUUUGGUAUGGCUUAUUUAAAAGCCAUAAGUGCUUAUUUAAUCGUAUAAGCACUUUUUUAAAAUUUUUAUGGUGUUUGGUUAUUUUUUUAGUAGAGUUUUUUUAGCUUAAAUAAGCUAAUUUACCUCUACUAGCAAAAGCCCAAAAUUUGAGCUUUUGGGAGUAGAGGUUAAAGAGCUUAUCUAAAAAAUAUAUAAUAAAAAAAAUAUCAUACAGUUUAAUGAUUCAAAAGUGUUUUUUUUAUUGACAACCAAACACCCAAUGACUUUUUGUCCAAAAACUCUAUUGGUAUAAGCUCUACUGCUAUAAGCUCUAUUGUUAUAAGCUCUAUUUAAUAAGCUGUACCAAACGGAGCCUAAAGCAUUCAUUUUUUUUUUUCGCGUUUGGCCUCUUCACUUUUUAAAAAAUUUUAUGGUGUUUGGUUAUUUUUUUAGUAGAGUUUUUUUAGCUUAAAUAAGCUAAUUUACCUCUACUAGCAAAAGCCCAAAAUUUGAGCUUUUGGGAGUAGAGGUUAAAGAGCUUAUCUAAAAAAUAUAUAAUAAAAAAAAUAUCAUACAGUUUAAUGAUUCAAAAGUGUUUUUUUUAUUGACAACCAAACACCCAAUGACUUUUUGUCCAAAAACUCUAUUGGUAUAAGCUCUAUUGUUAUAAGCUCUAUUUAAUAAGCUGUACCAAACGGAGCCUGAGUCUUCAAAGAAAAACUCAAUCAACUAAUGCUCGAUUUUUUUUUUUAAAUGACAAAUCAAAAAGUAUUUUGGAGUAGAUUCUCAAAAGAGUGAUUAUUUGAUAAUCCACCAUAAUCCCACUUAGUUAUCAGAAAUAAAUUAAAAUCCGACGAAUGUUACUUAAGCCAAACAGCAUUAUUUUAUUUUGACCACAAGGACCACAACCCUCAAGCUGUCAAGCAACCGUUACCGUUAACGACCAAUCUUUCACCUCUCCGAAUCUUUGCAAGUCACUAUCAAGCAACCGUUACUAAUAUUUAAUCAAUUAUUAGGAUUAUUGGAUUUCUCAAAUACCUUAUGUACUUUGGUUCACUUUCUACUAAAAUAAAUAUUACAGGAGCUUUCAAAGUCUAGGCUAAGGUUGUUGUAAACAUAGAGAGAUUCAGAGAUAUAACAGCUUGUAAUUACAUACCACAAAGCAUAACUUUGUUCGAAUGAUAAUGAUCAUAAUCCAGAUUAUAGACGUAGAGAGAGGAGAAGUCGUACUUGAGGGGCAAAACGCGGCGUUUUGGCUCGUGGAUGAGGUGCUGCUCCUGAUCGUCGUAGAUUGAAGGGAGGAGAGGUCGGUCGAGGAAGUUUAGGAGACGGUGGAGGCUGAAUUGGUGAAUUUCGAUGAAGACUGACGAAUCCAAUGGGGCUUGAGGGUUUGAUUUGCAAAGAUGAAAGAUAAGAGCAUUGUUUUGGUUUCUGUGCAAAAAAAAAAAAAAAAAACAUGACAAGCGUUGUUUUGGUUUUGGUUCUAAAAAGAUGAAAAUUUGACUGCAAUGGAUCCAUACGCAGUCGGUGUCAAAUAAGAGGAGAAACAAAUAUGUUAAUCACUCGCUCAAUCACUCAUGCGAAGUGCCUUUUUUUUCGUUGCUUUGGCUUCUGAGAAAUAUAUGCAUCAGAUAUUACAACUCUCGAGGAUAAUGCAUUUUGUUCCGGUUUUGACUGAUAUUUAGUGGCAUUUGAUAAACUGAUACCUCAGAACCUGGUAGAGAGUUUAUUAAAUACAAAGAGAACAAAAAUAUAUGACUAUAUAAGCUUUUACACGGUUGAAGAUCCGGUCAAAUUGGCUUUAGUUAGCAAGAUCAUUUAAAACUUUCAAAAAACGAAUGGUAUCAAAAAGCUCUGAGAAAAAGCGGAAAAAAGGCACCACAAAGAUCUUGCAAUUAUUAUCACAGCUUGAUAAGACAUGGAAAUGUAUCUUACAAAUUGGCCUUCCAAGCAUCAAAGAAUUGGGUGGCGACAACUCCCAUUCCUAGCUGCUACCGUGGCCAGUCCCUUCUAACUAAAAUGGGACAGGACCAAAAGCAAGGUCUCUCCCACUCUCCUUAUGUAUAUAAAAUUCCCUACAUUCGAAUAAAACUACAGAAAAAGAUUUGCACAUCAUCUUCUUUCACCUUAUUUUGCAAUCUUCAAGAGUUUGGAAGAUUUCAAAGCACUUGUUAGAAUGUAGCACUCCAUUAAGCAUUCUCACCUUCCCCACACCCCAAUGGACCUCCUUAAUCCUAUCGGCAGACCUACAAAUUCUGCUGCAACUCCAAUCAAAUAAAGCAACACAAUUGUUGCCUGCCUAAGCCUUCCACUCACAGCCUGCAAUGACAAGUUCAUGAUACAAAAUCAGAAACAUUAAUAAACAAAAAGAUAUUACCAUUACUUGCAGAGGGGGAUUUGUUGCAAUUAGUAAAUGCCAUACUUAUCACUUUCAUUGCAGAUAUCAUCAUCAUCAUAAUACUAGCAAUCCAGCACUAAUAGUCAGAAUAAUAAUAAUAGUAGCAUGAAUAAAGAAUUUCUGCAGAGUAAGCUCUAAAGAUGCCGAAAGUGUCAUCUAUUAUGUUAAUAAUAAAAAAGUCUAUCAAGAAUUCAAGGAAAGAAAACUCAUUAACAAAGAACUAAACUUUUUAAUAAUGUUUAAUAAACUACGUACCUAUGAUUUUCUAUUAUUAACAUAAAUGACACUACGUACAACUGAUUUUCGCUUUCUAAUGUUUCAAAUCAUACCGAGAAAUAUAACAAUUACCAAGUCAGUAAGUAGCACAAUUACUUAAUAAGACUUUGACUUGUCUAACCCAAAAUUGUACCCAAUUCUAUACUCUACCAUGAAAAGCUUAUGAAGCCGAACUUACUUUGACCAAACAGUACUAUUAGCUCAGUUAAAGGAAACCACAAUUGAACAAAGUUCAGCUGAAAUAACUGAACUAAAAAAACUUGAUAAAAUUAAAAGUAACUUAUAACAGUUUAGUAAAGAAGCAUACAAAACAUGAAGAUAAAUAAACAUAGGUCUAUUUUCUUGACACUACCAGGUCCUUUCCUUUUUUUUUUUUCAGAUAAGAUCUCGAUACUACCAAGUUUUGGAUUCAAAAUCACCAUAUUACAAUAAUAGUUGUGAUUCAUGGGAUACAAUAUGUAGCAGCUUAUAUGUCGGCAAUUAUAGUCAAAGAUGGUUGUCAAACAUCAUCGCAAAUCAAGAAGCUAAUAAAGACCAUGUCACACUACAUUAACAUAUAUCAGUUCUUUGAUACAAAGAUAUUGAAUGUUAUACAUUUCUAAUCCCAAGUCCUGAAAUACAAAACAAAAGUUCACUUCACACAGUCAUAAAGCUAGACUGCUAGAUAAAUGGACAAUAGGCAUUGGAUAUGGGUCAAUAAACUAUUAAGCUAAUUAAUGCACACGAAGGAAUCCGUUAGAGCUAGUAAAAUAGCCCUUACCAGAGAACUCGCAGAAGCAUUCAAUUUCCUCAAAGGAGAUAACUUACAACAUAAACAUUUUGAUAAGCAGCAACACACAUAAAAUAGCUUCACUCACUAGCAACAGAGCAACUUCUUCAACACAUUAAUAAAUCCAUUUUCAUUUUUAAACAACAAAAUAAUGCCCAGUUUCUCCAGCACAAAUAGGGUAAGCAGUAAUAGAAAAACAUGAUACAUAGGAAUUACCGGCCUCAAGAAAUCUCCAAGCUUUCUGUCCUCUGCUUCAAUUGCUCAAUCAAGAAUGCCCCAGACGUUGCGCUAGCGUGGUGGUGGAGCGUCGCGAAGCGUGUGGCGGCGGUGUCGGCGAAGGCAGGUCAUGAAGAUAGUUGGUGUCGCGCAGCGAAGGCAGUGCAGCUGGUGUCAUGCGGCGAAGGCAAAUCGCGUGGUGGUGGAGUUGGGGUCGCGCGGCAGUGGCGGUGCGGUGCUGAGGCAUAAUAGUGGCGGUGGCGUUGUGCGACAGUGGCAGUGUGGAGGCAGAUUGCGUGGAGCUGGCGGUGUUGAGGCAGAUCGCGUGGAGGCAGAUGCCGCGGUGGUGGAGUUGCUGUCGCGAUCAACGCCUGUGAAAGGGAAUGAAAGUGAAGGAGAUACCUACAAAAGAAAGAACGAGUGAAAUUUUUUUUUUUGUUCAAGGGUUUCAAACCCACAUAAACCCGACUCUCACACGGGUUCAGUAAGUUUAUGCGGGUUUGACUGCAUUACAAAUUGGUAUGACCACAACAACAGUACAAUGAUUGGUAAUUACCAAACAUGCUAUUUAUGUUGGUAUUAAAUUAAUUUAAUACAAUGAGGAGUGGUAAUAUCAUACAAUGAGGACUGUUAAAUAUGGUGUGUUUAAUAUGUUGUAUUGUAUUAUAUUAUUUUAAUACAAAUAUAUUAUAUUAUCUUGUAUUAUAAUAUAAAAUAAUGAAAAAUAUCGAAUUUCAAUAUAUAAAAAAAAAAUAAAUAUAUUUUGUUAUAUUCGAUCUGCUGUACGGCCAAGGCGGAUGUACGGUACAGCAGAUAAGAAUUUAAAUACAUACACUUAUAAUACAACUUAGUUUUUCCACAUUGUCGAGGGAUCAAAACAACCCAUCAUUGGAGUCCAAUAAGUUAUGUGGCGACACAAAAAAGUAAUUCUAUAUUUUUUACGUCAUAAAUAUGUAAAAAAAAUUGUAUUAUAUCUUAUUAUUAUUAGUUUUUUUUCUUCAGUUUUGACAAGUAUAGUUUUCUUGUUGAGUGGCUCAACAAGGCUGGUUACAAUUUCGAAAUAAUGUUCCAUCUGUAUCUGUUUUCCUUUUGUUUUUGAUUUUGUAGUAUAGUUAAUUUGUACGAAUUUGUUGCCUGGUUGGUUUUUAUGCUGAAAAGUCAGUUCAUUGGAAAUGACAGAAAAUUGUUUUUCUUUUUCAUUUUUACAGAAAGAGAUUUGCAACGUUAUAAAAGUAAGAGAUCCUAAGAGAUCCCUGAAUCAUAUUAAAUAUUAAACUUAAGAUACAGUCAAGGCUUUUAUUAUGUUACUAAUCAUGUAACGAAUAUAAUUAUGUAGCAGUCGUUAAAUACAAAUUUAACAGUUAUAAAAAUAACAUGAUUUUAUUAUCUUAUAUUUCUAUAAUCGUUGAAUUUUUAUCUGCUGUACCGUACAUCCGCCUUGGCCGUACAGCAGUAUUGAAUUUUAAAAAUUUAAUAUUAUUUUUUUAAUAUAAAUAUUAAAAAAUAUCAUAAUUCUUCAUAGAAAUCGAAGUUCAUGGCAUUAAAUUUUUAACGCCGCAUACAUAAUAAAAAAUUUGAUUCUCUAGUGCCAAUAUAAUAGAAUACAUAAAAACGAGACUGAGAAACUACGAAUAAAGCUCAUCAUCAAGGACUCCACAACAUUAUAAGAAGUACUAUGUAACAUUUGCCAAAUUACAACACCACAUCAAGACAUAUCACAAUGUAAAAUUUUUCCUAGAGAUUUGGUAAUUGAAAAACACAAUUCAAGUUGAAAACUGAUAGUCGACUUGAAAAGUUUUAACAUAUCCCAUAAAAGAAAUGUGCCAUGCCAAAAAUCCUAACCCUUGGCUCUUUGACGAUAAGAAAAUAUUGAAAAUUCCAAAGUACAGUGCAAUGGGAGAAAGAAUGCCUAUAAAGCUAGUAAAGAUAUUCUUAAACUACUAUUGGGAUGUUGGGCUGGUUGGUAGCAAAACCCAAACCCUGCUGCUGAUUUCCGAUACCACCAUCUUGGAUAAGCCGCUCUCCCUCCUCUUCCUAACUCCUAAGCCCAAUAUCUUUCCAAAACCUUCACAACCCACUCAUAAAUCUCAUUGUUGUCGUGGAUAUGCAAAUUCUCAAUCUUUUCUACUCCAUCACACUCAUCAAUCAUUUGGGUAUAAACAUUAACCCAAUUAUCCAUUCCUAUUUCCUUGUUAACCUCACCCACCUUGAAAAUGUUCUCAAGACCCUAUAGACAAACUGUGACGAUCCUUUGGUCCAGACAAACCAGAAGAUCACAGAGCGGUUUGAUGCAACCUUGGCUCACCAGGAAUCUGCAGGACCAUGGUACCAUAAGUGAUUCUAUCACAUGAACAUCAUUAGAUUAAAAAAAGAAAAAAAAAAGAAACAUCUAUCGUAUGAACAUUGCUGAGUGAAUAAAAGAAACAUACUGAAUAUGUUCAUGAGAUCCUCCAUAUGUGGCAUUUAAGACAGGCCAUGCAGCCUCCUUGAUUUCAAGUUCUGCAUGUUGAAGAAGAGGUGCACAAAAGGAAGGAUAAGGAAGGAUGAUAUUGGCCUCCAUAACAGCCUGUUGAACAAAAAUUCGACAAAUUAUAAUUAUGAGUAUAUUUAAGUAGCAAUUUUGUCAGAAUUAACUAGACUUGACUAUUGAGGAAGUCACAUUCAAAAAUAGAAAAGACGAGCAAGCAAUUGUAUUCAUGCUAUCGGGACCAAAAUACUAUGAUGCAAGCAAGAAAGAAAAACAUACAUACAUAUAAAACACUAUCUUUGAGUUGGGUAUUUUCUUUCAAUUUUGAUAAUGGCAACUUUGGAUUCUUCUGCUGAAUUACCACCACCACCACACCAUUGUAGUUUCACAUACUAAGAAAAGGCAGGUUCAGCUCCCGUGCAUGCCCAUAAGAAUAUGAUGUAUUAAUUAGAAGUAAAAUUAAUCUGUUCAAUUAAGUUCUCUCAUAUAUUUGUGUGCGUGUGUGUGUUAAUUAGUUUGCUUUCAAAUCUUUUCUCCCUUCUUAAUGAUAUAUAUUUUAAGCAUGAUAUCAACCACGAUGAAUUUAUUAGCCGAUUUUUAAUUAUACAUUCAGCAUGAUAUCACAAACCAAGAGCUUAAGUUAGCCUAAUUCUUCAUAAAUCUAAUAAUUGCAAUCAAUAAUAAUGCUGAAAAUACGAGUUUGAAUUAAGCUAGCAACUGGUUCUUAAAUUAUGCAAUAUGUAAUCAUAGGUUUACUUAAAGAUUAAAGCAUUUCUGCAAUCCAUUGUGCAAAAAGAUUAAAAAAAAAAAAAAUAGUUGCCAAAUUUUAUCUAAAUAAAAAUUCCUUUAGUGGUUAGUACUUGUGAAUUAUAGAAAUUAUUAUUAGUACUUGCUCAGCGCUUUUUAGAUUUGUACAGGUAGAUUACGCCAUUUCAAACCCGACCAUCCAUUUAGACAUACAAAUCCCCCCAAUUCCCUGUCCUCCGCCUUUACGCGACUCUCCACUGUAUGUGCCAACUAAUUAAUUUUUUAAUUACUUGUUUAACUAAUUAAUUCAUUUUCUCAAAAGCAAGAUUAAUCUAUUUGUUCAAAUCUGAAGGAGAUUAAGUUAAUUGAUUUUAUUGUAUGUAAAAAUAUACAAAGAACUCAUGAAGCCAACUAGAAAAAAAAAAAAAGACAAAAAAAAAAUCAAACCCAGAAAUAAAAAGACAUGCUUCGACAGAAAAUUAAUGAAAAUUAUACUGAUUGUGGUUCAAUUUGAUCAAACCCAAAUAAUAACCGGUUUGAUUGAUGACUCAGCGGCAAAGUGCAGGCGCAUCAGUGGUUGCACAGAUGAGUGUUCUCGUGCGGCACGACAAAGCAAUUGUCGGCGAUUGUGAUUGGUGAUGACAUCGAGCGAUGGGGGUAAUGGCAUCGGUCGUGACUUUGUGAUGGAGAAACGAAUGUUAGAUUCGUUCGAAGAUUCGUGUUUUGAUUGAAUAACAAAGAGAGAUUUUAUGAGUUUUAAUUAUCUAAUACGAUACCGCAUAAACCCGACUCGUACGUGGGUUUAUUUUAUGCGGGUUUCGGUGUACUAAAGCAGUAAAUUUAUGUGGUGCAAUUCAAACUGAUUUCACCGCCAAAAGAUCGUGUAAAUUUAAUAUUAUACAGGGUUUUAAUACUAUGUAAUCCAAUACACCAAACAUGCCCUUAAAAACGGAUAGCAAUCCGGGGCCUUUAAAAACGGAAAAUACAAGCAGAGAAAAAGAAAAGCCAAUUGUUCAAAAGUGCCUAAUAUGCCCACGGAAAAUUUUCGUCACGACCCACAGUUACUCGAAUAGGUAAUAAGACAGGAAUGCCUUUGUUUGUUCGAAUAUAGAAGCACAAUGGCUCAGAAAGGAUCCCUCCAAUCUCCUUGGCACUGUCAGCUGGGUGCGGAGUAGCUUGGUGGCAGCAACCAUGUUUGAGAGGGCUGGCUUCACCUCAGUGUACUUGCGAGUCUUGAGACCACAGUCAGGGUUAACCCACAAAAUGUUGGUUUCUAGCACAGUACGCAUCUCGUAGAUUCUGUCAACAAUUUCUUCGGUUGAUGGUAUUCUUGGAGAGUGGAUGUCAUAGACGCCAGGGCCAAUUGCAGCAUCAUACUGGACUCCCUCACGGAAGACUGACAGGAGAUUCUCAUUAGAACGAGAGUUCUCAAUGGUGAUCACAUCAGCAUCCAUGUCGAUAAUUGAGUGGAUAAUGUCGUUGAAGUUGGAGUAGCACAUGUGGGUGUGGAUCUGUCAAUCAAUAAACAAUAGAAUGAGAUACAAAAUCAACAGCUAAAUUAAAGAGAUGAGAUUGGAGAUUAAAAGGGUAACUGACCUGGGUAGUGUCCUGGAUGCCACAGUUGGUGAUUCUGAAGGAGUGGACUGCCCAGUCCAAGUAGAAAGCAUGCUCAGAUUUCCUGAGAGGCAAUCCUUCCCUCAAGGCAGCCUCAUCAAUUUGAAUAACGUUAAUGCCUGCCUUCUCAAGAUCCUCGACUUCGUCCUUGAUGGCCAAAGCAAUCUGGUAGCAGGUUUCAUGUCUGCAAAAUUGGCAGCGAUUGAUGUUAAACAAUGUUUCCAUUCCAAAAGGUUAACCAAUAGUGAACCAGUUCUCAUUUAUAUACCUGGGCUGGUCAUUUCUGACAAAGGACCAGUUGAGAAUGGUGACAGGGCCAGUAAGCAUUCCCUUCAUUGGGCGAGCAGUCAUGCUCUGAGCCCAGGAGGACCAGAAGACGGUCAUAGCCUUGGGACGGCUCACAUCACCAUAGAUGAUGGGUGGCUUCACACAGCGAGAUCCAUAGGAUUGCACCCACCCAUUGGCAGUGAAGGCGAAACCUGAUAACUGCUCUCCAAAGUACUCAACCAUGUCGUUUCUCUACAAAAACAAAUGUCCGAAUUCAAUUUGAGAUCCAGCAUACUUCGUAUGCAAUUAGAAAUGCAGAAACAAAAAUGUAUAAAAUUUUAUGUAAUUCAAAACCAGGAGACAUUGCUUUGCUUCCAUUGGGCAUUGCGAGACUCACCUCAGGCUCUCCAUGGACAAGGACAUCAAUAUCAAGCUCUUCUUGGAGUUUGACAACCUUGUUGAUUUCCUCCUUGAUGGAAGCAACAUAUUCUUCCUCAGAAAUCCUAAAAAGGACAAAUAGUCACGGCACAGUUAAUACAGUAGUUGCAGUAAUUUCACACAUGGCAUUGAAUGAAGAAACACCUCAGAUUGACUCACUUCUUAGCCUUGUAUUCACGGCGGACUCUCCUAAGUUCAAUGGUUUGUGGGAAGGAUCCAAUUGUGGUGGUUGGGAGGAUUGGAAGAUUGAGCUUCUUCUGUUGAGCAUCUAAUCUAGCACUAACGUUUGUAGCACGUCUGUGGUCUGAUCCCCUCAAAGCAGCAGCCUAAUAGACCAAGAGGAAGGAAUCACUGUUAGCAAAAAAGGAAAUUCUAAGGGACAGCCACAUCAUAAAAAUGGAAAACAAAUCAAUCAUGCCACUUACAGCCUUUUGAACUGCCUCAUUGGUCACUCUCGGGGAGGACUUUCUUGAAGCCUGAGCUGCAGCAUUGGCAGAGAAGAAUCCCUGGAAACAAAUGAUAAGGAGAACCAAAGUUAGUCUCAUUCAUAUCAUUUUAAAAAGAAGAUACAUAUGCAAUUAGUGGGCUGAUUGUGAGAGAAAAAGUCCCCAAAACUUUAAUCAAACACCAAAUGCCCAAGUUGCCAAAUGAUGUUUAAUUCGGAAAAAUAUAUUUAAAAACAUUCAAAUAUAAUUUCCCCUUCUAAAUUUUCAUUUUCAACAACAUAUUUUACAAGCCAAGCUCAACGUCAGGCCAAGAUUUUGUGCUCCUAUAAUUAUAUUUUACCAUAAAACUAGGUCCUUGAAAGGCUAAGAUUUUCUGACUCUUGUGACUAGUCAAAGCCUAAGAUUCUUUCAAUUCAUCCGUAGUAAAAGUAUACCUCAUCCUUUUGGCCAGCCAAAGCCUUGGCCAAUGCAUUGACUUCAACAACUUUCUGGGCAGCAAAUGCCAGCCAUGACUUGAUUUCGUCGUCGAGUUUGUUCUCAUUAACAAGAUCAACAGCAGUGUGAAGAAGUGAGCAGGAGGUGGAGACCACAAGCUUGUCUGCAAAGAAAAGUAAUAAAUUAUACAACAAAUCCCAUAAUAGAAUAAGAAAUAUUUAUCACAAAGAAAAAUGCAAGCAAAGGAUGUAUACCUUUGCCAACAACACCCUCAAGCCCCCGGAGAACACUAAGAGAAGCAGCAAGAUCAUUGGCCCAAAUGUUCCUUCCAUCAACCACUCCAGCAAAGAGGUACUUGCCAGCAGGGAAUCCACUCUUGAUCAAUUCAAGGGUCUUGGUUCCACGAACCAAAUCAAAUCCAUAAGCGGUGACACCCUUCAAAGAAGUGAGGGUCUGGAAUGCCUCAGCUGGAACAUCAGCAAAGUAGGUCUCAACAAGAACAUUCAAGCCAGACAGAGUUGACUCUAGUUCCGCGUAAGCCUCACUGAAUGCUUGCAAUUUGUGUGAGUCAAGAUCCGUAACAAGCAAUGGCUCAUCAAACUGAAUCCAGGAAGCACCAGCAGCCUUAAGCUCAGAAACAACUUCCCUGCAGAAGUGUUAAUUGGUACGACACGGAUUAAUGAUGCCACACGAUACACACACACACACACACACACACACACACACACACACACACACACACACACACACACACACACACACACACACACACACACACACACACACACACACACACACACACACACACACACAGACAGAGUUAUUUAGCACAUACACGUUUAUAAAUCUGUAAAUAGGUGAUAAUUCUUACUUGUAGAUCGGAAGGAUUUUGGGAAGAAGAGAGAGAACAGAAAAGGUCUUCUCAACCCCCCAGGCAGGCUUAGACAGCAACAAGUAUGACACAGGGCCAAUAAGCACUGGGACAGUUUCAACUCCAUGCUGCAGCAUUAGACAAGUGGUAGAUAUUAGCAUCUCACAAACUUGAUCUGACUGAUAGAAAGUUACAAGCAAGUUAAGAAUAUGUUUGAUGAAAUUUCAAUGAAAAAUCUUCAGGGUCCACAACAUGUUGACUAUACCCUUUUUAAGUAAUUUAUCUUAAGACUAUUUUGCAAACAGUAUUGCUUCCCUUUACAGAUCAAAUAAAUCAUACAACAUCUGAACGCAUUUCCUGAGCCAAAUAUAAGUUCAAAGCUCUAUAAUAAAUGUCAAUGACUCUAUAGUAAAUUCCAUCACAUUCUGAGCUAUGGAUGAGCAUAUCAUAUGCCAAUUUCAAGUUGAACGUAACCCAAUUUCAACAUAUUGUAGAUUCAAGUAUCAAACGAAAAAAAAAAUAUUGUAAAUAUAGACAGAACUGAGAACAAACACUCACCCCCUUAGCCUCCUUGUACUCAGUCACAGCCUUGUGGGAAGCGUAGGAGAACUUAACAUCGGGUCCCAAUUCAGGAACAAUGAAAUGACUGCAUCAACACGAAGCCAAACACACGUCAGCAUUCAGUACAAAACCAUUACACCAUAACUAACUUGAAAUGCCGCUCUUCCAAGUAGUGAAUACUUACUAGUUGGUGUCGAACCACUUGGUCAUUUCCAUUGCGAGAACAGAGGCGUUUCCUCUGGCCAUGGAGAAGUAAACAUCGAAUCCAAUCUCGCCGCCGUUCCAGUUAAACCUCGGGGGCACGGCACCGAGCAUUGCGGUGGUGUCGAGCACUUGGUCGUAGUAGGAGAAAGUGUUGCUGGGAAUGUAUUUGAUCCCGGCCUCGGACAUCUGUUUCCAGAUGGAGGAUCUGAGAUCAGCGGACACCUUUUGCAAAUCCUCGGCGCUGCUCUUGCCAUCCCAGAAGGAUUCCAACGCGAACUUGAGCUCCCUCUUGGGGCCCAUGCGUGGGUAACCAACGAUGUGAGAUGCCAUUUUACUGUCAUAAUCACGUCAUCAAUGAAUCGAAAAUCAGUCCCUUCCAUUAAAUCAAGAAAUUAUUAAUUCAAAUGAAUGGAUCACAUUGUAUAUAUAUGGGAUAAAUAUAAUUAUGAACAAAAGCGUCUAAUCAAUCACAAAAAGCAAGCGACUGCAUCAAAUUUAGGGAUCCGACCCGACCCGACCCGAUCUGUAAAUUCCGGUUUCAAUCGGAUUAAGAUGAAACCUCUAACCCGAUAUAGUUGGAUUUUGGCCAACUCGAUCGGAUCAGAUCGGAUCGGAUUAAACUUAGUCCAAUCCGAAAAAUUCAAAAAAUCAAAACUACAAUAAGUAUAAAUCUAAAUUUUCAAUUCAAUUUGAUCUAAUCUGAAUAUAUUCGAAUCGGAUCAAAUACUAUGCUCUGCUUAAACUUGGAUUAUAUUUUUUUCAAUUUGAUUAACCUAAAAUUCGAUUGGAUAGAUCCAAAACUGAAUUUAUCUACCCCUCAGUCAUCAAUCAAUUACAAAACCUAAAAUCCGAUUGGAUAGAUCCGAAACUGAAUUUAUCCACCCUUAAGUCAUCAAUCAAUUACAAAGGCGACUGAUGUUUAUACAAUGGACAAUUAUUAAGUUACAGCUCUUGUAAUUUACAACUUAUACAAAAAUAUGUGAAAAAUUGUGAUAGGCAGUACAGUGUCAUGAUUUUAUACAAAAAUAUGUAAACAAUUGUGAUAGACGGUAGAACCUCAUGAUUUUAUAAAAAAUACGUAAAAAGUUGGGAUAAGUAAUGGAGCCCGCAUAAUUUUUUAUCAGCUGCAAGUUGCAAGUUACAGCAACUGUAACUUAGCGACCCCGACUUCAAUGUAAAAUGAGAAAGUACUCCUCCGCAUAGUACCUGAUGCUCAAAAGUCAAAUCACACGAAAUGCAAAUAGACUUAUCAGAGCAUAAAACCUUAUAUUACUUUUUGAAAAACGAUUUGAAACAAGGGCAAAAUUACAGUGUAACCGUACUUAGUCAUUGAAUUCAGCUCACAAUUAUCAUUAUAGUUAGAUCUAAUAACUAGAUCCAACUGUAUCCACAGUUAUAUUGUAGUUAGAUCUGAUAACUAAAUCCAGAUCCAGCUGUCCCCACAAUUGUCAUUAUAGUUAGAUCUAAUAAUUAGAUUCGGCUGAUUCAGCUGUGAUGUAGUACCCUGUAGUGCCAUAACUGGACAAAGAAACAAACUGAUAUAUUUUCUUUUUUGAAACAAACUGAUACUAAUCCAAGAGUUUCAGAUGAUCGGUUUUUUUUUUUUUUUCUAUAGUCACAUCAAUAAUUAAGUACUUUCAGUCAUUUUCGAAGGAUUAAAACGAAAACUCUAAAAAAAUUCUGAGAAUGAAGAAUCCGAAAAUAGAUUCAGAAAUAGUAACACAAGUAGAGGUCAGAUUGUUUUUUGGAAAAGAUUAAUUGCAGAUCUGAUGAACUCAAGUCUAGAUCUAGCAAAAUCACGGCAGCCAAACACUAGAUCUAAGACUAACAGUCACUCACCAGUCGAUCAGAAAGUGAAAUCAAGUUCAAAAUUCUUUUUUUUUAAUAGAUCCAAAAGCUAAUAUACAUAUAUAUAUGGCAAAAUAUAUAUACCGUACCCGAGAAGGACGAGCAGAGAAAUUAAGCUUUUUUCGAGAGAACGAGAAAGAAGAGAGACGAGACUGUUAGAAAUUGCUGUCAGUUUAAUUUUUAUUUAUAGCCAAAAACCUAACCUUGUUUAGUGGUUACUGGUUACCGUCUUCGGCGGUGUUGAUCUGAGAUUUAUCAUUUUAAUUUCUUUCUCUUACUUAUUUAUUUAAUUUGGGUCCAACUACGGUGAAACUGUAGUACCGUGCUACAGUUAUUUUCAACCGUUUGAUUCACUUGGAUGGUGGGAUCCAAUAAAAUCCAAUAACUGGGUGCAACCGUAGCACGGUGCCGCAGUUGCACCACAGUUUUUCCCAUUUAUUUAUUAUGCUUUCAGUGCAGUUGGCAAAAACAUGGAGCUUACGCGCGCUUUUCUGAUGUGGCGCGUGAAUUGGAAAUGUGGUAGAUCUUUGUGGAUCCGCCGGUGCAGUGAAGAGUGAAGGAAAAAAGAGAAAAGUUAUCAUGCCAGAUCAUUUGAAGAGAGCCGCAAUUAGUAAUUACACCACAAUAUAUUUCUGAUUAUUUGCUUACUUUGAUGAUGUUUUUACUGAUUAGUAAUUGGAAUAUGUUAGAAUCUAAAUAUAGUAGAAUCAUAAUAGAGUUGAAUCAAAAUAGACUAUAAUUAGAAUGGAUAAUGGGAAUUAGAAGAAUUAUUUGCUUUAGUUGUGAGAAUCCAAAUUGGAAUGAACUAUAUUGUCGUUGAUAUGUUUACUUUAUCAUAGAAUAUGAAUGAAUUAUUACAAGUUACUAAACAGACCUUAAGUUGAUUAUUGUCAUUAUUUAUUUAUUUAUUAUUAUUAUUAUUAUUAUCAUCAUCAUCAUCAUCAAAAUUAUUAAUCUUAUUAUUAAUGUUAAUUAUAAUAAUUAAUAAUUAUAAUAGUAUUAUAAUAAUAAUAAUAAUAAAAGCAAUCAUAAAAUGAGAAUUUCAAGAUUUAAGUAGAGAUAAUAUAAUUAUUUUAGAAAAUGAGAAUUUCCAUGAGAAUGUGAACUCUAUUAAUCAUUCCCAAUUUGAAGUGGGGCCUGCCAUUUUGAUUCAAUCUCUCAUUUAAGCAAGUAAAUACGACAUUUAUUCUCAUUCCCUCAUUCCCACUCUCAGGUAGCGUUUGUUUUUUAACUUAAUGACUUAAAGUGACUUAACUUAAUUAAUUAAGUUAAUUAGAGGUGUUUAUUUUUAUAACUUAAUGAGACUUUUUAGAUAAUUUUGACUUAAUAAAAUGAGCCAAUUUUUUUUGGCUUUUUACUUAAUGGAGAAAUUUGAAUUUAGUCAAUUACUUACUAAUGUCAAAAAUAUCUAUGUUUUAUAAUUUAUUUUUCAUGUCUAUCCCAAAACUCACCCAUAGACAUUUACCCCACAUAAAAAUAUCCCUAUUUUUUCUUUCUUAUAUUAUAUACGAUAAAAUUUGAAAUUUAUGGUAUUUUAUAUAUUAAAAUUCUAAAAUAAUUAUGUAUUCACUUGAAUAUAGUUUUACUUAUAACUGUUAAAAUAUUGUGGUAUUUAAUAUAUUAUUUAUUUGACAUUAAAAUUUAAUAAGGAUACAAAUGUAAAAGUACAUAUUUUCAGUUUUUUCAGUUAAAAAAAAAGCAACUUAAUACUUAUUUUUCGAGAUUCAGACGAAAAAAUAAACAUAUUAUUCAUAUUCAGACAUUUAGAUAUAUUCAGAAUUCAAACUAAUUCAGGUCUAUUCAGAUUUUAGACAAAAAAAACAAACGCCACCUCAAUCAAUAAACACACCAUAAAUGUAGAGUUGUUACUAUUAGAAUACAUUAUAAUUCAUCACAAUUAUGAUAGGUAUAUACGUGUGUAAUAAUUUAUAUAAGAUGCUAAAUUUUGAAAAUAAUAAAAAAUCAUUUAUACAUAUUUAAAAAAAUCAUUAAUACAUUAAAAUGUGCAUCACAUAUACAUUUACAUAAUAGCAAUGACCAUAGUAUAAAAAAAACUCCUAAAAGAGAACGACUUCGUUAUUUAUGUUAUUUUAUAUAUUUUUAAUUGAUUAUUAAAAGGAUCAAUUGUUAAUUAUUAUUCUCCAAACAUAAUCACCGUUAAACAUUUAUUCAAUUUAACAAUAGGUAGAUGUUAAAUAAUAUUGGAAUAUUUAAUGAACAAUAUAAUCACUAUUGCAGUUGUUUUUUUUUUUUAGUAAUGGAUUAUUCGAAACUCAAAUUCAUUUUUUAGCCCCCUUACCUCUCUUAAAAUUCAAAUUUAAGUGACUAAACAAAUAAAACUGCUUAAAAUCUAUACGACUACAUCUUUGGGGACCAAUUAAUAUGGAUGUUUAAAUCUUGAUUUAUUAUUAAAUCUUUGAGUUUCAACCACUAAUAACAUCAUCAUCGAUUAAUGACAAAUAAAAUAAUACAUCAUCAAAACCAUUAAACACGUCCAUCAAUAUCAAAAACAAGUAAAAAGUUUAGCAUGUAUUUCAAAUAUACUUUUCAUCCCAAAAGUUGUAGAGAAAGUCUCGAUAUCAAUGUCACUAUGAGACGUAAUUUUAUAUUUAAAGUCAGCGCAACUUAAAAAUUACUAUGAAUGAAUAAUACACCAUAAAAAAAUUAUUUAUAAGUAUUUUCAUCAUGUAUUUUUAUUUAACAAUGGUGACAUUUAUUUUUUAACUUAAUGACUUAAAGUGGCUUAACUUAAUUAAUUAAGUUAAUUUUAGGUGUUUGUUUUUAUAACUUAAUAGGACAUUUUAGAUAAUUUUGACUUAAUAAAAUAGGCCAAUUUUUUUUAACUUUUUACUUAAUAGAGAAAUUUGAAUUAAGUCAGUUACUUUCUAAUGUAAAAAAAUAUUCCUACUUUAUAAUUUAUUUUUCAUGCAUAUUCAAAAACUCACCCAUAGAUAUUUACCCCACAUAAUCUCAUCUUUAUUUUCUUCCAGCCGUCAUGGAAUCCCUCCUCACUUUGCUUCUCUCCUCUAGUUCUUGAAUCUCCCUUUAAUUUCUCGCUAGGCAAAGCACUUGAAUUGGGCUUUUUUUUUUUCCUUUUCAAUUACGUUUUCCAACAUUCACUUAUAUAAUAAUCAACUAGUUGCUACUCUUUUUAGUGAUAAAAUUUGAAAUAUGGUAUUUUAUAUAUUAAAUUUUCAAAAUUAUGUAUUCACUUAAAUGUAGUUUUACUUAUAAAUAUUAAAAUAUUAUGUUAUUUAAUAUAUUAUUUAUUUGACAUUCAAAUUUAAUAAGGAUAUAAAUGUAAAAGUACAUAUUUUUAAUUUUUUAAGUUGAAAAAAUAACUUAAUAUUUAUUUUCAGAUAUUCAAAUAAAAAAUAUAUUAUUUAAAUUCAAAAAUUUAAAUCUAUUCAAAAUUUAAAGUAAUUCAGGUCUAUGCAUAUUUCAAUCAUAAAAACAAAUGCCACAUGAGUCAUUCAAUUUCUAAUUAAGAGGAUAAAAAAUAGAUUUGGACUAUCCUAAGACAAAAACAAAAAAAAAAACAAAAAUAAGAUUUCCUAAUAAGUGUACUAACGUGGUCACGCGCCUUGAGAAACGCUUGGACCUAACACACUAUUUUAAUCCGAUAUGCAAAAAAAGAAAAAAAAAAAAAAGGAAAAAUUAUGAGAUGUAUAAGUUUCUAGAGACGUGUUAAAUUUUGAUGAAACAAUGAAGAAAGUCGGUGGCCGAAGUUGGUAUGGGGCAAUGCGAAUGGUGGUUGGCCCACGUUGCCCUGUAAUUGGAGUUGUUAUAAUUUUUCUUAUAAUUAAUAGGACUUGACACAGACUGCAGCAUCAGCCGUUGGAUGUGGAGGGAGAAACUAAACAAUAGAAAACCGUAUGGUGGGAUGACGGUAGAUGUUUGUUACAGAAACUGUACCAUAGACAGGUCCUAAUUAAUAAGCUCUACGUUUUGAAACAAUAAAUAAACUCCAGAUGACCAAAAUAUCAUUUCAUACUGCUACCUAGACAUCUUGGCGAGGGUGGGUAAUGUGGGGCCCGGAGCUUGUUUGAUCGUCAAUUAUUCUCUGGUUUGGUGAAACGAAUGGACGGACGAUGGUGAUGGCUUUUAGGAGAUUAGUAUUAUUAUUAUUAUUAUUAUUAUUACAUUGAGAUCGUAAAACAAAAAAUUCAAUUAAUAAUAUAAAAUAUUUAUUUAAUUUAUUAAUUAUUAUAUAUACACAAUAAAAAAAUUUAUAUACAUAUUUAUAAAUGUGUAAAUAAAUUUCAUUCAAUAUUAUAUCCAAUUAAUCAUUUAUAUUUUUCUGCUGUACCGUACAUCCGCCUUGGCCGUACAGCAGUAAAGCUGCUGAUGCUUUAUCGCGAAUUCAUGAGGAAAAUGUGAUUGAAGAACCCAAACCAACAACUCUUUGUUUGUCGUUAGACAUUUACCCCACAUAAAAAUAUCCCUAUUUUUUCUUUCUUAUAUUAUAUACGAUAAAAUUUGAAAUUUAUGGUAUUUUAUAUAUUAAAAUUCUAAAAUAAUUAUGUAUUCACUUGAAUAUAGUUUUACUUAUAACUGUUAAAAUAUUGUGGUAUUUAAUAUAUUAUUUAUUUGACAUUAAAAUUUAAUAAGGAUACAAAUGUAAAAGUACAUAUUUUCAGUUUUUUCAGUUAAAAAAAAAGCAACUUAAUACUUAUUUUUCGAGAUUCAGACGAAAAAAUAAACAUAUUAUUCAUAUUCAGACAUUUAGAUAUAUUCAGAAUUCAAACUAAUUCAGGUCUAUUCAGAUUUUAGACAAAAAAAACAAACGCCACCUCAAUCAAUAAACACACCAUAAAUGUAGAGUUGUUACUAUUAGAAUACAUUAUAAUUCAUCACAAUUAUGAUAGGUAUAUACGUGUGUAAUAAUUUAUAUAAGAUGCUAAAUUUUGAAAAUAAUAAAAAAUCAUUUAUACAUAUUUAAAAAAAUCAUUAAUACAUUAAAAUGUGCAUCACAUAUACAUUUACAUAAUAGCAAUGACCAUAGUAUAAAAAAAACUCCUAAAAGAGAACGACUUCGUUAUUUAUGUUAUUUUAUAUAUUUUUAAUUGAUUAUUAAAAGGAUCAAUUGUUAAUUAUUAUUCUCCAAACAUAAUCACCGUUAAACAUUUAUUCAAUUUAACAAUAGGUAGAUGUUAAAUAAUAUUGGAAUAUUUAAUGAACAAUAUAAUCACUAUUGCAGUUGUUUUUUUUUUUUAGUAAUGGAUUAUUCGAAACUCAAAUUCAUUUUUUAGCCCCCUUACCUCUCUUAAAAUUCAAAUUUAAGUGACUAAACAAAUAAAACUGCUUAAAAUCUAUACGACUACAUCUUUGGGGACCAAUUAAUAUGGAUGUUUAAAUCUUGAUUUAUUAUUAAAUCUUUGAGUUUCAACCACUAAUAACAUCAUCAUCGAUUAAUGACAAAUAAAAUAAUACAUCAUCAAAACCAUUAAACACGUCCAUCAAUAUCAAAAACAAGUAAAAAGUUUAGCAUGUAUUUCAAAUAUACUUUUCAUCCCAAAAGUUGUAGAGAAAGUCUCGAUAUCAAUGUCACUAUGAGACGUAAUUUUAUAUUUAAAGUCAGCGCAACUUAAAAAUUACUAUGAAUGAAUAAUACACCAUAAAAAAAUUAUUUAUAAGUAUUUUCAUCAUGUAUUUUUAUUUAACAAUGGUGACAUUUAUUUUUUAACUUAAUGACUUAAAGUGGCUUAACUUAAUUAAUUAAGUUAAUUUUAGGUGUUUGUUUUUAUAACUUAAUAGGACAUUUUAGAUAAUUUUGACUUAAUAAAAUAGGCCAAUUUUUUUUAACUUUUUACUUAAUAGAGAAAUUUGAAUUAAGUCAGUUACUUUCUAAUGUAAAAAAAUAUUCCUACUUUAUAAUUUAUUUUUCAUGCAUAUUCAAAAACUCACCCAUAGAUAUUUACCCCACAUAAUCUCAUCUUUAUUUUCUUCCAGCCGUCAUGGAAUCCCUCCUCACUUUGCUUCUCUCCUCUAGUUCUUGAAUCUCCCUUUAAUUUCUCGCUAGGCAAAGCACUUGAAUUGGGCUUUUUUUUUUUUCCUUUUCAAUUACGUUUUCCAACAUUCACUUAUAUAAUAAUCAACUAGUUGCUACUCUUUUUAGUGAUAAAAUUUGAAAUAUGGUAUUUUAUAUAUUAAAUUUUCAAAAUUAUGUAUUCACUUAAAUGUAGUUUUACUUAUAAAUAUUAAAAUAUUAUGUUAUUUAAUAUAUUAUUUAUUUGACAUUCAAAUUUAAUAAGGAUAUAAAUGUAAAAGUACAUAUUUUUAAUUUUUUAAGUUGAAAAAAUAACUUAAUAUUUAUUUUCAGAUAUUCAAAUAAAAAAUAUAUUAUUUAAAUUCAAAAAUUUAAAUCUAUUCAAAAUUUAAAGUAAUUCAGGUCUAUGCAUAUUUCAAUCAUAAAAACAAAUGCCACAUGAGUCAUUCAAUUUCUAAUUAAGAGGAUAAAAAAUAGAUUUGGACUAUCCUAAGACAAAAACAAAAAAAAAAACAAAAAUAAGAUUUCCUAAUAAGUGUACUAACGUGGUCACGCGCCUUGAGAAACGCUUGGACCUAACACACUAUUUUAAUCCGAUAUGCAAAAAAAGAAAAAAAAAAAAAAGGAAAAAUUAUGAGAUGUAUAAGUUUCUAGAGACGUGUUAAAUUUUGAUGAAACAAUGAAGAAAGUCGGUGGCCGAAGUUGGUAUGGGGCAAUGCGAAUGGUGGUUGGCCCACGUUGCCCUGUAAUUGGAGUUGUUAUAAUUUUUCUUAUAAUUAAUAGGACUUGACACAGACUGCAGCAUCAGCCGUUGGAUGUGGAGGGAGAAACUAAACAAUAGAAAACCGUAUGGUGGGAUGACGGUAGAUGUUUGUUACAGAAACUGUACCAUAGACAGGUCCUAAUUAAUAAGCUCUACGUUUUGAAACAAUAAAUAAACUCCAGAUGACCAAAAUAUCAUUUCAUACUGCUACCUAGACAUCUUGGCGAGGGUGGGUAAUGUGGGGCCCGGAGCUUGUUUGAUCGUCAAUUAUUCUCUGGUUUGGUGAAACGAAUGGACGGACGAUGGUGAUGGCUUUUAGGAGAUUAGUAUUAUUAUUAUUAUUAUUAUUAUUACAUUGAGAUCGUAAAACAAAAAAUUCAAUUAAUAAUAUAAAAUAUUUAUUUAAUUUAUUAAUUAUUAUAUAUACACAAUAAAAAAAUUUAUAUACAUAUUUAUAAAUGUGUAAAUAAAUUUCAUUCAAUAUUAUAUCCAAUUAAUCAUUUAUAUUUUUACAGCGGUUUAAUAAUAAUAUUUACUAAAUACAUAUGAUUAUUUUUAAAAUUCACAGUAUUUUUAAAAAUAAAUUUUAUAAAAUUUUUAACUAAUUUUCUUUACAACUAACUAUUGAACGGUUUAACUAAUAGUAAUUAUUUUUAAAAUUAUAGUAUUAUCAAAUUAGUCCUAUGUCAAAUUUGUUAUUGCUGUUUUUUUUUUAAUUAAAAAAUUACAUAGUGCAUACGUGCAUAAUAUGCCCAACUCAAAAAUUCACACAAAAUAUACUAUUUAACUUUAAGGCUUUAAUUGAAAAAAAAAAUUAAGAUUAAGAUGAAUAAAUACUAGAACAUAACAAAUAGAUAAACUCUCCCAUUCUUUAAAAAGAUUAAUUUUAUUUUAAACUUACACUUCGAAUUCAAAGUAGACAUUGAUUGAUAAAAUUAUACAAACGGAUCAAUAUUCCUACAUUUUCUUUUUAAUUUCAAAACCAACAGAUAUUGUUUGUUCAUUAUAUGACCUCCAAACAAAUAAUUUCAUUAAUAAAAUAAUAAUGAAAAGUGUCGUGAUGGGUAUAGAGUAAUUAGGUGGCUAAGUUUCUACUUUUCAUUCUAACUCUUGAGGUUGGUAGGCGCGUGGGUGGUCCACAAAACCCGUGGACGGUAGCAUUCAAACAAAGACUGGAGGCACCAGAAAAAUGUCCAAAAAGUGUGAAACCGUGACGUGUUCAACAUGUUAAUAAAUUUAGGCAAAUGUUAAAGUUACGGAGCUGGCUACGUUACAGAAACUGUACGUAACAGCCAUGCAUUUUUUAUUCGUUGGAUCUAGAGACUGAAAUUGGAUGGUUGGGAUUAAAGGCCAGAAUAGAAAUUAAUCACGGGCAACCGUUUUUAACAUUUAGAAGGGUUUAUUUUCAUGCACACCCAAAUAUUUUGACAAAUAUCAAUAUGCACCCAGUAACUUUUUAUGUAAAACCACAUAACCGACCCGUUAACUUUUCUACUAUUGAAUUAAAAAACUAUCAUGCCUCAAUUGAAUUAAAUUGAUCAGGUAAAAUAUCUUUUAUAACUUGUCAAUUUUUACAGUGAAAUAUACGAGUAUUUAGUAAAAUCAAAUUUAUUUUUUAUUCAGUAAUCAAAUUUUUUUAUUUAGUGAAAUCAAAAUUAUUUUUCUUUAGUUGUAAGAUUUUUUUAACAAAAAAAUUCUAAAAUCAGAUUUAACUCAUUUACUAUUUUAAAAAAUGAACUUUUUACUAACCAAACUAGAGUUUAUCUUUAGUCAACAUAUUUUUUUCUCUAAAAUAACCUUUGAUAGAAUUACUUAUAUAAACAUGUCAGUAUCAAAAUUACUUCAUAUUUUACCAUCCAUCAAUUUAAACUAGUGUGAAAUUUUUUUAGUUUGAUAUUGAAAAUAUGAUAGUUGAUGAGAGAAAUCUAAUUCAAAUUUACAGAUAGAAUAGUUUCUUAUAAUUGCGUACAUGGUAUAUCAAAAAUAUUUUUUUGUGAGUUUUUAAAAAAAUUGUGUCACAAGAUGAAAUUAUCUCUUGAUUUUUCAAUUCCUGGAAUUUAUGUAAAACAAUAAACACAAGUAAAUCUUUUGGUUUGUGACUUCUUGAAGGAAUGUUUGGGAACGCACAAGUUCCUCUCUCCUUCAAAAAGAAUGAUAAGUGCAAAUACCAACCUAGAAAAUUGAUUUAUAAUUCAAAGAAGAUUUGAUUGAAGAUGAUUAAUUGAAAUUUAUCUUUGCAUGAUGUCAAACAUUUUUCAAAAUGACUAAGUCAAGUCUCUUUGUUAAUUCAAAUCAAGAAAAAUUAGAAAAAUAUUAAUGCAUAGAAAUUCUACUAAGAGUUAUUUAUGAAAUUCUCAAACGAAUAGAAAUUAAAUUAACAUUUUUAAAUUUUAGUUAUGGGUUUAUUUUAAAAAUGGGUUUAGAAAGAAAUUUGAGGGGUUUAAAGAACCCCGCCCUUUCUUUAAUUAUUCGGUGAAUUUGAAAUAUAUUAAUAAGGUAUAAGAAUAUGUUAUUCUAAUCUUCUUAUGCAAAAUCUAUGCAAUUAAAAAAAAAUUCACCAAACGGUAUUUGUCUUUUUAUUGACAUUUAAUAAUAUUGAUGGCAAAUAUAUACAAUUAUCAAUCAAUUGUUAUCAACUAUUCAAGAUAACUGAAAAACUAAUUGCGUGAAGUUGGAGUAAUGAUUGUUUGAAUUGCCAAGAGUUUUUUUUUAAUAGAAACUAUUGCAAUUCAUAUCAUUAAAAAACUUAAAGACUACAAGUCGAAUAAAAAAUCUUUCCUUAUAAAAGAAUUUGACCAACUCAAAGUACAGUGUUAAAUCCUUGAGAUACAAUGAACCUAAAAAUCCUACUUUGACACACCACAAAUAAUGAAUCUAACUUAACAAUCAAUGGAGAUAAAUCAAUUUUACUAGCAAAAUAUAAGCCAAAACACAAGGCAACGUCUUCACCAAAAUCAAUAUCAUUCAAAUAAUUCCCCUUGUGAACGCCUGAAGCUAUCAUAAAAACAACAAAAAAUAAAAAAAUAAAAACAAGUAGACAAGCAAAAAAAUUCCCCAAUAACAAGUUACCCUACAAAACUUUUCCUUGUAGAACAUACACAGAAACCGCAGCUAUAGGGCUAUCGAAAGUAGGGAUGGCAAUGGGGAGGGGAGGGGAGGGGACCAAUCUCCCCAUACCCAUCCCCGAUAUUUUGCGUAUGUCCCCGUCCCCGUCAGAAUUGCUUGAGAGAAUCUCCAUCCCCUCCCCGAAUAAUAACAGGGGAUCCCCGAGGGUCCCCGGUCUUUGGAAAAGCUAGGAAAGAAAAGGGACGUGAAAAACAAAGGGGGUAGAUUUUUUGAAGGGGAAAGAAAAAGAAACCCUAGAUCUAAAUUUUUCUCUUCUCUCUAUGAAGAACUAAACCUAUUAUUCUGGUUGAAGAUUAAUAAAGCUUUGGUUCAUCAUUACUGUGAGAUCUUUCUUAUGCUUUAAUUGUUUUAUUGCUUUUUGGGUAUUUGUUUAUUCUCUAAAUUAUUGUCAUGAUUAUAUUUGUUAAUUAGAUAAUUGGCCACUAUUUAAUUAUCAACUUAAUCUAUUGUCAAUUAAAAGAUUCAUCGUAUGAAGAUUUUAAUAUUUGUGACAAAUAGCAUAGCAGUGCGUUGUGUUAUGAGAAUAAACAAUCUAAUUUAAAUGAACCAUCGUAUGCGUUUGUUGAUUAGGAUUUGGGUCUCUCUGAUUUUUCAGGUUGUCAAUUAAUUAAAUCCUAUGAUUGUAUCUAGGGUUAUCUAUUAAUUAGGGAAAUAACCAAUGGUCGUACCUUAGUUAUCGACUAGUUAAAGAGAGAUUGGCUAUUAAAGGGUCUCAGUAGCUAGGGAUGGCAAAAAUCCCCACGGGGACGGGCACCCUCGGGGAUUUUCCCCAUUCGGGGAGGGUACGGGGAUAAUUUUAUACCCAAUUUUUUUUUCGGGGAGGGGACGGGGAAAAUUUUUUACCCAAUUUUUUAUUCGGGGAGGGGACGGGGAUGAGGUGGAAUCCCCAUCCCCUACCCAUUUCCCCAUUUUAAUUUUUAUUUUUUAUUUUUAAAAUUACUAAUAAAUAUAUAACAAAAUUAUAAAUAUUGGCAAGAUAUGAGUGGAAUUUUGGGUGUGACAUGUAUAUUUGAUCCAAGGUAUAAAAAGAAGUUCAUUGAAUAAUACUUUUCUUUUUAUUUUUAAAAUUACUAAUAAAUAAAUAACAAAAUUAUAAAUAUUGUUAAAAAUAAUAAAUAUCAAAAUAGUUGUAUGUUGGGAAAGUGGUCACCCCUUACCAGGAAUUAGUGGAAGAGUAUCAAUUGAAGUUUUCACCAAUUGUUUAUUGCUUUGAUUAUACUGGUUGUAGUUCUUCUAUUAGAUCUACAGGGGAUUCUUAUAAGAAAGCAACCAAAUGGAUGACAUGUUUUGAUGAUUAUGUAAACAAUGGAGAUUGUGCAGUUGUUGCAGAUGAAUUAGAUUCAUAUUUGGAUGAAAAAGUUAUACCCCGGAUGGAAGAUUUUAAUAUUUUGAGUUGGUGGAAGACAAAUGCUAAUAGGUAUCCUACAUUAGCUCGAAUUGCUACAGGACGAGCAGGAGGUAAAUAGUUUUAUUAAAAAUAUUAAUUAAGUAUCUACAUUUAUUUCAUUUAUUUUAUUGCCGAUGUAAAAAAUAUUUUUUUUUUCUUUUUAUUGUAGGAUUAUGAAGAUUGAGACAUUGAUAAAGAUAAUUAUUUUAAUAAUUUAUAUUUUGAAUGUGACUUUGUAAUGGAUCAAUAUUAAUGUAAGAUAUAUUUUAAACUUUAUUUUUAUCUGAAUUUUUUAUUUUAAUAUGAUUAAUUUAAAAUCAAAAAUAAAAAAAUGUAUUAGACUAUUAAUUAUUCGGAGACCGGGGACCCUCGGGGAUCCCCUGUUAUUAUUCGGGGAGGGGAUGGGGAUUCUCUCAAGCAAUUCUAACGGGGACGGGGAGGGGACGGGGACAUACGCAAAAUAUCGGGGAUGGGUAUGGGGAGAUUAGUCCCCUCCCCUCUCCUCCCCAUUGCCAUCCCUAGAUUUUUGCCAUCCCUAUCGAAACCUCUACCCACCACUAUUAGAGUUAAAAAAAUCUCUGAUAUGAGUGUAUUCUUCUAAUUUGAACUCUAACGUGAUUUUUUGAGAGAUUCAUUGGAAAAAAACCUUAAGGAGUUAAAGAAGAAAUUUAAAAAAAAAAUCAUAAAAAGAGGAAUGAAAAGAAAAAGAUGCUUUACCAAGAGUUGAUUGACAGUAAUUGGUAAAUUUGAGCAUGCAAUAAAAUUUACCCAUAUAUUCAUAUGACAUAAAAUAUAAUUUUAUUCAUUAAUUACACUACUAAUUUGUCUAAAUUUUAGUUUUUAAAAAAAUAAAUUUCUAUAUAUUUACAUAAAUCUUAGUUUUUAUAAAAAUAAAUUGAAAAAUAAAUUUAUGUUUUUAUAAAAAUAAAUUUAUGUUUAUUUUUUUACAUUGACCUGAAGAAAAGACUAGUACUACUAAGCUGCUGUACGGCCAAGGCGGAUGUACGGUACAGCAGCAAUUUGACUGUUUGGGGGUGGGGUUGAUGGCUUACAUCAAAGUUAGUGUGUGCUAAGGAUUAACAAUAAUAAUGGGGUAAAUAUGAAAUUAAUCCUUGCCCAAGCAUUAGAAGUUCGUCGGUUUUCUUUUAACCGGAUAAUUACCGGUGAAUAUGUCACGCGUUCCUACACGUGGCAGCAUCUAAUUUAUUCGCUUGUCAUUUCAGUUUCUGUUAGUUACAGUUUCUGUAACGUAGCUAGCUCCGUCAGGUACAGGCAUGUUGUAACUUACGUUUCUCGUAAAAAUCAUAUAAGUUCUAUUUCUACCGCUAGGGUGAGCAUGGGUUGAUUUGGAUUAAAUUUUAAGUUAAUUUAAAUUAAAUUAUAAAAAUUUGGGUGUAAUCUAAAUUAAUUUAAAUAUUUUUAACAUAACUCAUGGGUUGGUUAAAUCAAACUAUAAAAAUUUGGUCCAACUCAAAUUAACUCAAAUAUUUUCAACACAACCCAAAGCAACUCAGUUGGAUUUUAUUAAAAUUAUAAUAAUUAUUAAUUGUUUUUAAACCAACCAUUUUGAGUUUGGUUUGGAUUUUAUUAUCAAAAUAUAUUUUUUAUUUUGAGAAAUUUAAUUUUAUCAAAAUUAUAAUAAUUAUUAAUUGUUAUUACUUAUUAAAUUGAUAAUAACAUAUAAAAAUUAUAAUUCAUAAAAAUUAUAAAUAACAAAUUUUACAAUAACUUAAUCCUUAAAUUAAAGAAUACUAGAAAAUUAAAAUAAAGUUUAAUCACAAAAAUCAUUAUUUAUCAAUAAAUAAGAAAAUUCUAAUAAAAAACUUCUACAAGCACGAUAUCGACAAGUAAAUUCAAAGAAAGAAAGAAAGAAAGAAAAGACUAGUACUACUAAGUAUUAACCCUAUUACAACACAAACUCUAACAAUGUCCAUACAAAUAAAAAAAAAUAAGACAUUCUAACUCAAGUGUCAAAGCAAUCCAUCAUAAUCAUUUCCAUCCGUAGUACUUUAAUCGAGAGAUUCCACGAUUAACUGACAAAAUGUAUGACAAUGAUAAUUUACAUUGAUUAUGACAUAAUAGAGAUGGAUUUGUCAAAGCCAAAUCAUUUGCUGGAAAGGAAUUUAGUUGAAGUAGGAACCAAAAUUCAACUUAGAUGGAUCUAUAAAAUUGGUCAUUCAAUACAUAAGUACUUUAUCAACAGAUUCAACACAUUAUAAAUUUAUGGAUUCAACUAAGUUACAACCAGCUGCAACUUAUUCCUCUCACAUAAACAAUAAUACAGCGGUAGGCUAUAUUAUUUACAAAAAGUACUUAUGUAUUGAAUGACCAAUUUUAUUACCUGCAAAAUUAAUUAAUCUUUCACUCUAUCAUCUAACUAAUGGAAGGCAAUCUUAUUUUAGGUUGUAAUGAUUAGAAACUAGCAGGAAGUGGGGGCGAUGCUCCAUAUUAAUUUGGAUAAAUCCCUUUCUAGUGAAGAAGUUAAAAUUAUAAAAUAGAGAUCAAGAUAGAAAUUUAAAGGCCCCGAUUGUUUUUUACAGACUUAAAAAUGAUAUUGAAAAAUUAAAAGCUAAUUUUAGUAUUUAAAAAUUACUUUAAGAAAAAUCACCCUAUCUUCCUGUAAAUUUUGAAAAGCAUGAAAAGAGCAGUUUUUCAAAAAUUGAUUUCGAAAAUUAGUUUCAUACUUAAUACAAUUCCAUAUAUCCUAACAUUUAUUAUAAAAAUUCAAAUUAUCCUUAUUAAAUUAGGAAAUAAAGUCAGUACAUUUAAAUAAGAGUGAUGAUAUAGACACAAACUCUUGUACCAACUGACGUAGCAUUAAUUUAUUAGUUGAAUGAAAAUAUAAAAUAAUAUAAAUAAAUCAUGUGGGCCAAGAAAUAUUUAAUUUAACCAAUUUUAUCAUGUCACAUUAUAAGCAACUUAUAAACUCAUUGGAUUCGACUCUUUACUAAAAUAAAAAUAAAUUAAUAUAUAUAUAUAUAUAUAUAUAUAUUUACAUACAUAAAAUGUGAUUAUAUACACAUAUUUAUAAUUGAAUAUGUACAUAAAUUCUGUAGAUUUAUGUCUAUCUAUACAUUUGCAUUCUUACCACAUUUUAAAAGUGUGAUUUACCAAAUACAUGGGACUUAUUUGAAAUUUAUAGCACUUUUAUAAAUAAAAUUUAUCAAACGUUAAACAGAUUCUCUAUUUUCGCGUAUAUAUCCUCAUGUAAAUUAUAAAAAUUCAAAAUUAUCUUUAUUCAAUUAGGAAAUUAAAUCAUUAUUUUUAAAGAGAUUCUUAUUAUUACUAAUUAGAUUCAAAUAACCAAAAAAAUACAAUCAAUAAAAUAAAAAUAUUUAUUUUAGUUAUCAUUUAUUAUAUACACAUAUUUAUAAAUGCAUGUGUAAAUAAAAUUUUAUAGAUUUAUGUCUAUUUAAGUUAUUUGCAUUCUUACAACAUUUAAAAAAUGAGAUUUACUAAACACAUGUGAUUGUUUUUAAAAAAGUUACAACACUUUUAAAAAUAAAAUUUAACAAAUGUUUAAUUGACUCUCUCCAAAGGUAAUUGUUUUUACAGUAUAGCUAAAGUAAUUUAUAAAUUUAUGAUAAGUAUUUGUGAAUAUUGGUCUAUGUAAAGAAGUAAAAACAACAUAUAUAUUAAGCAGCAUGAUAUUAAAACUCUUAGUAAAAUACAUAUACUAAUAAAAGAAAGACAACAAUGCAAUAAAUAAGCUUAUAAUAUAAAUUAUUAAAAUUGUAUAUUAAAAAAUUAUGCAUGAAAUUCUUUUUCUAUUUUGGUGAUAGAGAAUGCGAUAUAAUUGAAUUAUUUGAUUUAAUAAAAAAAAAAUAUGACUGUGAAGGAAAUUAACAAUUGAAUUGUGGAAUGUUAUUAAUUGUUAUUGUAUCAUUUUGCAACGUUCUAAUAAUAUGGACAAUGUUACAGUAUAUUGAUGGGCGGUAAUAUUUUCACCUCUUAAAUUGUGUAAAGUCAGCUCCAUUUAAAAAAAUUAUAUAUAAAAAGCCCAUUAGUUUUAAUAGUUUCAAAUUAAGAUUAAAUGCAAAUAAUUAACCAAUUAAAUCCUUAUUAAUAAGAUCAUUGAGCUUUAAUUAAACUAAUAAAAUGCAUUUGAUAAAUGAAAUUUACGAUAUUUAAUUACAUGAAAUUUAUUGACUACAUGAAUAAUAUAAUUGUUCAGCUGUUUAAACUUUUUCCCUAUUUAAAUUUUAAAAAACAAUGUGAAAUUUUGUAAAUAGUUCUUUGAAAUGGGGUGGAUUUACACCAUUUGUGCAGUGCAAAUAUCCUAAUUCUAACAUUUUUUUUAAAAAAAAAGACCAAAUCAUAACAUUUUUUGUAUACUAAGUUAAAGUAGUACUAACAUUAUAGCCCCCUAAUGAUUUCAAUUCAUUCAAUGAAUAUAUAAUUUAAGCAUGUUAUAAACUAAGUCUCUAAAUCGAAUUAAAAAAAGAAAAAAGAGCUUAAUUGCUGACAUAGUUGAAAAUAAAAUAAAAAAUUUUAUUAUUAGAUGAAAAAUUAUGAAACUUAAGGGGUAUAAGCGAGUCGGCAGCUGCUCACCAGGGCAUAUGUAAUAUUUGUUAAUACAUUUCAAAAUUUUAGGUUUUUUAAUAAUAUUUUCAAUACAUUUUCUAGAAGGUUUAGAAAAAAAAAAUGACUCAAUACUUUAAUCGAGCUAUGAAUAAACUCAUGUGUUAAAAAAUUUCAUAUUUACACCCAAUAAGAUUAAUUAAUGGGUGAUACAAAUUUAAGAUAGUUAAUAAUAAUAUAUAUCAUCUUAAGUUAACUUCAACUCAUUAACCUUGUAUAAGGUUUGAUGGGUCGUGCCGCAAAUUAUCACCUCUAAUCCUUUUUGCAACAGGCAUGAUGAAUGCUAACAAAAUGAAACUUCUAUAUAUUUAGUUGUUAUUCUUUUUAAUGAAAUAAUAAGGAGCUUUGCUGCAAAUUUCCAUCCAGCAUGGCAUGGACGCACGUGAAAUUUGCUAGUAUGGUCCUGGACAUGCGUGGCUGAGAUGCUUCUAAAGGCAAAGAAUUCCAAGUUCAUACCAAAUAUAACUUUCUGAUAUUUUUGUGGUAUCAAGUUUGUUUUUCACAAACUAAGGUGUCGGCGUAAAGUUGUUGUCCAUGCAAUGAAGUUUUAUACAUAAAUAUAUUAACCUAAAUUGUUACUAAAGUUCCAUAAUUAGCAGUUCCUGAGAGUUUUUACUAUAUAUUUUUUUGUUUUAAUUCAACAUAUGUUUAUUUAAUACGAUUUUAUUAAAUAAAUGUGCAUAUUUACCAUAUUUGUCUACGAUCAAUUAGUUGGAAAAAAAAAAGAAAAUUAAUAAAUUUAUUUAUUUGAUUGUUAAUGGUUUAGGCAUUUGAAUUCCCACAAAGUCAGGGUGUCAGCUCUGGACUUCUGGUGAUGUAUUUUUCUAAUAAAGAAAUAAAAUAUUGUUGUCAUUUUUUUAAUAUUCUAAUUUACCAAGCCUACCAACCAAUUAAUUUUUCUAAUUAGAUCAUUAAUUCAUUACACGUGCAUUCGCUGGCCCAGUGCUCCAAUCCCAUGCAUGCUGCACAACUCAAUGUGUUUUAAUAAGAAAAGGUUUGGUUAGCCUGUGCUGAUGCCAGAAGCCCCUUAAGGAGUUCAGGUAAACGUAAAUAUGUCCAGAUUUAGAUUUGAAUAUGUAAACGUAAAUAGGUCCAGAUUCAGAUUCGUUGCGCUAGAGAGGGGCACGCACGAUCGGGCUGCUGUCAGGUGGUACGUUGGCGUGGCAAUUCUCAACACGCGCUUCUCCUGGUGCAUACUUACGGCAAGUUGACACGUGACCCGUGUGGAUUGAGUGGACAGAGUCACGGGCACUGAUUUUUGUCAUCCAUAACGACUAACGUCGGAGACUUCGAGAAGAAAGAAAUUGUUGUCGUUUCUAAGGGGAAAAAAAUAUUUAAUUUGUUGAAGACAAAUUAACGUCGGAGAUUUUUUUUAUUUUUUAUUUUUAAUUUUGCAAUCUAAACCAGUCUAAUCAAAAUGUCAAUUUGACAAAAGUUGGACUGAUUUAGAUUAGUUCUAUUAGUUUGAUUGGAUUAAAUUGAAUUAGAUCUUGAACAUCCUAACACUUUUCAUGAAUGUUUUCCUUUUUUUUUGAAAAAAAUUAAUAAGGAGAAUUCCCAUGAAUGUUAAUUUUAUUGAUAAACUUGGCAAUUUUAAGAAAUGUUUUGACGCACGAAUAAUGCAAUUCAUCAACCCACAUAGAUAUGGAUAUAGGAAGCAGAGACCAGAUCGAUCUUGACAUAACGAAAACUUGUAUGUGUAUAUGUAUGUUACAGACCAGAUCGAUCUGUAGCAUAGACUUCUCCUAUAUGUAGGUUAUAUUCAAAUUACAAAAUGAACACAUGUUAAGGAUCUACAACUUCUUCUUUAAUCUAAUAAGCUCCCUCAACUUUAUUCCAAAACAAAAAAGAAUCAAAUUUUUGUUGGAAAUAUUUAUGAAUGAAGAAGCAAAAAGCGCUUGUAUCAAGGAUCUAAUUAAAGAACUGCCAGAGGCAUAGAUCUAUCAAAGCUCCCUCGCAUGACUCUUGGUCUCGGUGGCUUCUUCUUCUUCAUUCCGAAUUUUCCCUCCAUCUGAUCUCUUCCAACCUUUCCAUUUCCAAAUUGAAUUGAAACUUGCCUCAUAUUCGUUUGUUGAAUCCCAUCUUUUGUUGCACCACCAUGCAUCAAAAUCCUUGAAAUCCCAGCAUAAUGCAAGGACUCAGCUAUUUGCAAUGGGGUCACGUUCUUACUUGUCCUUGCCUCAACAUCAGCUCCCUUCUUCACAAGCAAUUCAGUCACAUCUGUGUGGCCAGAUUCCACCGCACAAUGCAAAGCUGUGUACCCAUCUUCAUCUUUAGCAUCAACAUCAAUCCCUUUAUCAAUCAGAAUCCUCACAACCUCAAUCUUUCCCUUAAACGAAGCCCUAUGCAAAGCAGUCCAUCCAUGUAGGUCUUUCCCAUUGAUCGCGGCGCCUGCUUCGAUCAACCUCUGCAUUGUCCUCACUUCCCCUUUCCUAGCGGCAAUACACAGGCUGUCACCAAGCUUCAACGCGUCAAAGAGACGGGAGUGACCGCACUCAGCAGCAACAUCAUAAGCGGUCUUUCCGCUCUUGUUUCUAAUAUAUUUAUUAGCACCCUUCUGCAAUAACAGCUUCACCAUUUGCUCAUAUCCCAAGCUUGCGGCGAUAUGCAAAGGCGUGUCACCGUCUCUAGCGUUGCGUAUAUCAGGCCUUGCUCCGUUUGCUAACAGAAGUCUCGCGCAAUCUCUUCUUCUGUCUUCAACCGCGAGAUGCAGAGCUGUGUUACCAUCUUUUGUUAAAGCAUUGACAUUAGCACCUUUGAUUAAGAGAAGCUUUAGUACUUCCAAAUGGCCGCCUCGUAAGGCCAAGUGUAUGGGCCCCCAUGUUGAUGUUCCUGAUCUUUCUGUGCUGGCUUUCCUCGCCAACAAGAGCUCAACAAUAAGUGCUUCCCCUGCAGCCGCCGCGGCUUCAAGUGGAGUACUGCAGCCACACCUGCCUUGAGACUCAACAUCCGGCCCAAACUCAAGCAAAAGUUGAACAAUAUCAGGCCUCCUUUGAGCUAUAGCAAUAUGAAGCAACGUUUGUCCCUGCGCAUCGGCAGAAUCAGCCGGGUUCCAAGCCGGGUCACUCCGCUCAAGAACCUCUCUUAAAUCAUCCAUUUCACCAUCCUUAACAAGCAGAACCAAAACAGGAGACCCAACGAACAUGAUCUUGAUUCCGCUGUCGAUGAACACUUGCUUCUUCCUCGUUGUGAACCAGUCACUGGGGACGGAAUCAAGCGUCGACGUUGCAUCUUUAAUUCCAGCUCCAGGAACAACAACGCUGUGCAAGAGGAAGGAAUCAUCACAGUGAGGGAAAGAAUCAGGAAGAACCGAUCCUGGAGGGAGAUGAUACGCAAUCUCUACGCUUAGUGUUGCGAGUGGUGAUAUGAUUCCUGAUUGCGGCUUCACAGUAUAACGAGCCUUGUUUGUAGGCUGAAUCCUGAAAGCAACAGGCAUCGUGUGCAUGACAUUGCGGAGAGUCAGCUCCCCGGAACAUUUCUGCCCUGGUUCAAUUCUGAUAGCUACAAGGUUCGACGGCUCCAAGCUUACAAGCCUAUCCAUUGAUUAAUUUUCUCUCCGUUUCCCAAGGACUGCUGAAAGGGGUUCUUUGAACUUUUUGAUUCAGGCUUAUUUUCUUCACUUUUGGUGGCAUGGGGAGGAAUUAGAGGAGUAACUGUAAGAGCUGCAAGUGUUGGUGUAAUCAACUGUAAUAUAAGGAGAAGAGAGGGCCGGCUCUAAUGGGAGACUGCCACGUGGUGGUGUUAAAAACAAUGAGACUUGUUCUGUUCGGCGUCCGGAGUGUAUAUACAGUUGUGUUAGUGGUGAAAGUUAAAGAAAUCCUGAAGUUAUUUUCGGAGUGGCUUCUGCAAAGUCACUUUCAGGAUUGUAUUGUAUCAUUAAAAAACAAAGCCAGUUUUUGUUGUUCUAGUAAAAGGCGAAUCAUUGGACAAACUCGUAAGAAUAUGUUGCCAAAUGUAUAAAAUAUGAAAUUCAAACAAUGAUUACAAUGUGAAAUUGGACAAUGGACAUGGCCUGUGUGAAUUGUUUUGUGGGCUUACUAAUUAAAUUAAUUCACUAAAAAUAAUGUCACUUUUGUGUCUGUGAAGAAGCCGAAAUGGCACAGUCAUUUACGUGGCCAACUACGGUGACUACUUCGUCAGUAGCUGCUCGAGCACUUGGUCAGCACAAGUUGCUUUCUUUCUUGGCGGGAUUAGUUUUUCUUCAUUGCUUUAAGUGGUGCAUUUCUGCAGUUUCAUUUUGCUUUGCUUAUGCCAUUGGAUUUGUGCCCCAUAAAUAAAUAUAUAAUUAAGCGGAAAAGUAUCAAAUUUUGAAAAAGCUUAGGUUUUGUGUGUGUGUGUGUGUGUGUGUGUGUGUGUGUUUUAAGCCGAAUUACUCGGCUAAAAAUUAAUCCGAUUAUUAUUGUUUUGGUGCUUAAGAUGUGACUCUAACCUAAAGCUCAUUUGAACUCUCUUGAUGCUCAUAUGGUAUUUUUUGUGUUGUGUCGUGCUGGCCCUUACACAUCUCGGCUCAUAUUUUUCAUGUUACUAAGUUCUAAUAUGUACAAAAGAAAUAGAGCAAUGUCCGGUGGUAGAUCCAAACACUCAAUUUGGGGUGCUUAUUUUUCAGUCUCAAAUUCGAUUAUUUUCUUUUAAAAUAUUAAAAUAAUAGUAAUAAAAUACUUAUUUUAAAUACUGAGCUCAUUACAACCACAUAUGUAAAAGUAUCAUUUAUAUUUUUUUUCUAAAUAAUCUUCACAAAAUAUUUUAAAAAAUAAAAUUAUGUGACUAUGGGGAUUUGAACCAAGUCUCUCAAACUACUAAAUAACACUUUUACCACUAAAUUACAAAUCUUUUAACAUAUUAAAAGUGCAUCCAAAUUAUUAUUAUUAUUUAAUUAUUUCAUAAGAGAUUUGGGGCACAUUUAAAAGAAAAAAAAUUAAUGGUGCAUAAAGGACUAAAGCCUCUCUUGAGUCCUUGACCUUAACUAGGUCCACCCAUGGUAAUGUCAGUGAUACCCAACUUGAAAAAUAUACAAGAAACUUGGAAAUUUAAAUUAAUGAAUAAAUAAAUAAAUAAAAGGAAACUUAGUGAUUGUAGCUGUUGUAUUGUAUUGUGGAUCAAAGAAUUACAAGUUCUUGGUUUCUCGGUAUUGGCUAAUUUUGAAGUUAAAUGAAGUUCGAAAAUAUUUACAAGCAAUAAAAUUAUCAACUGAAUGAGACAAGGAAAGAGUAUAAAGACCUUAGCAAAUUAGCAAUCCUUCUUUAAUUUAGUAACAGUGACGCUUAUAAAGUUAGAAGACGUAUCAAAUCUAAUUUAGAUUUUGCCCCAUAAAACUAACUUAACUUAUAGUGCGUCUUUGUUUAAUUAGUAAAUAUUCCACAAAAACUGAUCAGCACUUUAUAGGAAAUUCCAAACACGUUUAUAUUCACAAGGAAUAUGUCAAGGAGAAAUGAGAAUAAAAAAAUGUAAAAACUAAUAAAGCUUCAUUAAUUAGAAUUUAUAACCAUAUGUGCUCCUAUACUACUUUUAUUAUUAAGAAUUUGAAGUAGAAGGUAGUUGAUUAUCAUGAAAUUACAAAAUUGUAAACGGAUUUGUUCUUUUGGAAAAAGAAAAAAAAAAAAAAAGGAAGGAUAGUUGAUUACUUGAUUAGUGAGAAAUCAUACGUAUAAAGGACAAAUUGAAAAAUGGGACCUGAAUUGCAACAAAGCUUCAUUGGAAUUAACUGCCGAUAAAAUUAAAUUAGUAUCACCCUACCCUUUCAUCUUAAUAUAUUCGAAAUUUCACCGAUCAAAGUUUCUAGCUUCGAUUUUUACGAUCUCUCAUCCUAAUAACACCAAAAGCAUAUUCAUUCGUUUGUAAGAUUAUGUAACAAAAUAUAGUAAAUAGCCUAUAAUUUUUUUGUUUUACUACUAACCUGUUAUCAUUCUUUUCUAAUAAUACAUGUUAAAAUAUUCACAGAAAAAAUUUAUCCCUAUUACACCCAACCACCUUUUUUUGUGUUUUUUUUGUUCAAAUUUUAGCAUUAAAGGGACAAUAAUGUCCUAUGAAAUAUGCAGAAAGACAGUUAAUAAUAUUCAAAAAUGUAAGUGGAGGUAUCUUACGCCACACACACAAAUUACACGACUCUCAUUAAUGUGUUGUUGUUGUUAUGUGUGGCGUAAGUUACAGUUGAAUGUCAUAUUCAAAAAAGUAAGUGGAGGUAUCAAUCUCCCUAAAUAAAUAAUUUAUGGAAGGUUGUUAGCUGUUGUACUUUUAGUUAAUUUUAAAAUCACAAUAAUAUGGUUAAUGUUAAGUUACAUGCAUGUAACUUAGGAGGAUCCCAAUAAUAUACCAUAUUUUAUUAAUAUGUACAGUAUUUAUAAUAUUUAAAAAUUAAGGAAUUAAUGUACGCAUGUAAAAGCUGCAUUGGAGCCAGUUGGAAAUCUUACUGUCUUGAUAUAUGCAACGAUUGUAGCAGCUAAAAAGGCAUGAUAUUUACUUAAUAUUAUUUCAAACAAUAAUUAUUUAUUUAAAGCAAAUAAUAAUAAUGAGGGCAGAAGGACUAUUCUAGGAUCAAUAUGGUGACAGUAUAAAUAAAUAAUAUUAAUUAUUAAUGCAUUGAUGAGUAUUGUUAAAAUGACAUAAUAGGUUUGUUUCAUUGAAUUGAACCUUUUCUCUUAAAAUAGCUAUAAUUUGUUCUCUCUCUCUCUGUGUUUUUGUUUUUGUUUUUCACUUUAGUUUUACUUCUCUUAAAAAACCAAAAAAAAAAAAACAAAAUUAAUGGAAACUGAUGAUGGGAAGACGGACAAUUUUCUAUAUUGUUAAAUAGAAAUGGGCACAAAUGUGAGUUUUUUGGGGCAAAAAAAUAUAGUCAAUGUACGUAGCGUUUGUCUAUUUGAAAACCCGUCAAUAUAAAAACAGGACGUAAAGCUUUCAGACAAAGUACUCUUAUGGCCGUACUUUCCAUAAACCAAAUCAAAAGAAGGAAAAUAUUUGUGUCUGGCUUCGAUGCGACUGUUAACAUUCACAAAUAAACACCUUUGCAUGGUCAGAAAAAUUAACAAGAAAUUAGAAGGCGAUGUUGCGUUCUACUUAGUUCUCUAGGAUUUGUGUCAUUUGUUUAUGCUACGGUUCGUUCCCAUUUGCAUUGCGUGGAAUAAUUGGCCGAAUAUUAUUAAUCUCAAUCUUAAUCUCUCAACUCUUGUCCCUUUAAUUUUUGUUUGUAUCUUUUUCUUUUUUUUUUUAAAUAUCACAUACAAUGCUUUUAAUAAAUAACUUCAUAGAAAUAUUUAAUAAAAUCCAACAUAUAUAAGUUCAAGAAACUCAAAAAAUAAAAGAAAAUAAACUCACGUUGUCACUGGAGAGACUCAAACAUGCUACCUUAAAAUUAAGUAGAGGGUGCAACUACUUGCACUUUAAAAAAAGAAAAGAAAAAAAAAGGGGCUUUGAACGCUCGUGAUAAUUUGCAAGUUAUGGAGGAUAAUCAUUGUACAAUGGGGAGAACUCUUAUGGAACAAUAUUCAAACUGAUAUUGAAAGCAUAUAAGAAUUUGGCUUGGGUGUUUUGGUGCCAUGAAUGAGUGCAGAAACAAAGAGGAAGCUUUGUCCCUUUAAUUUGAUCUGCUGUAUUAUAAUUAUUGAGAUUAAUCAAAUAAAUAACCGAAACAUGGUUACAGUUUUAUAGUGUAUUGCAAGUCUUUGGAGAUACUAUGUACCUCAAAAAAAAAUAUCGUAUAAAAGAGUGUUUUGUUUCACAGGGGUUCAAUGAGAUUUGAGAUGGCUGUAAUGAAAGUGAUGUAAAUUUUUUGGACUCUAAUGAGGUGUUUUUAGAUGGAGGGGGAUUUACAAGUAUUUUAUAGGGGUGAUAAAUGACUGUAUACCCACCAAAAAGGCCCAUUGUUCGAGUCCAUGAGCAUUACAGUUUUUUUUUUUUUUUUUUUUGAAAUUCAGAACAUGCAGUUUGUUUGAUUCAACUUCCGAAUUACAAAAUUAGAAUAAGAAAAAAAAAUGUGGAUGUUUUUUCUUUAAUUUACAUAAUAAUACAUGGUGUGGACGAUGUCUAUUGAGGGAUAAAAGAGGAAUGGGGGCACUGUGAAGUUUGUGUUUUUGUUUUUUUUAAAUUAUCAUAUUCAUACUGUCUAUAAAAAUAUGCAAGUUAAAAAAUUACUCAUGAUAUUGUUGUUUUUGUUUCAUAUAAUACUACUUAUGCACAUCGCCUCAUGCAAACAUUUCUUAGUUAUGCUUAAAAAAAUGAGAUUCUCACCAUGGGUCACUGUAAAAAUCCACAGAAGCCGUGGAUCACAGUAGGAAGCCCACUUGAACAGAAGAAGCUACCGAAAGCUUCGACAUUGUAUUUAUGAAAUGCUUAGUAAAUUUUGUUUUAUUUUGAAUUUAUAUUAUAAAUGGUGUGUUGCUAAAUUAAAAAAUAAAAAAGAAAUGCAAUGUGUCAAAAUACAAGAAUCUUACGGACAUUUUUGUCACAAUAUAUGUAAAUAAUUCAUAUCUUAUUCAUAUCCUAUGUAAGCUUCACUUGUUUAACACAAUGGUGGUUGAAUCUUCAAAAAUUCAUAAUCUUAAACAACCAAAUUUGGAAUUAAUUAAGCAAAUUGCCUCUAUAAAUUGAUUACAACAACCAACGACGUGUGAAGCCACAUGUCAAUUUCCCUAGACAGCCCAAAUAUUGAGGCGCUGUGAGGGAGCAAGGUGCAAUCGGAUGGGGGAAAGAGAGAGAGCCAAUGGUGAGAAUGGAUCGUGGUGAGGGAGAACCAACUGGUGGUGAGAUUUGUGGCUUCAAUGAGGUGAGUUUCGUGGCGCUGUGAGUGAAGUGAGAUUUGGCAUGAGUGUGAGGGAGAAUGCGUGUGUUGUGUGAGUGAGGUAAGCUGUGUCUGUUGUGUGCAUGGAGACUCUCACCACAAUUAGAAUUUAUAGUUAGCACAGAACGAAACACAAUAUUCUACGCUAACUGUGGAGUUAACCAUGGUGAGAAUAUCAUUAUUGUUUAUUAUAACACUUUUUUUUUUAAUUUGUUUUGACAAUAAAAUAAAGAACCUUGUAAGAAAACCUCAAUAACUCAAUUAAAAAACCAACUCAACCGAUGAUAGGUAAAUUGAGAAAUUUUCAACUAAAAAUUAUUAAGAUUGGUUUUAACUUCAAAUCAUAGUCACAUAGUUUUGUCCUUAUAAAGAUCAAAAUAAUGAAUUCUAACUCCGAAGUUUUUAGAUUUAUGUGACGAACUGACGAUAGUAUAUUGAAAUCGAUUGAAAUGAAAAAUUUAAUUAAAUGCAAUUCAAGAUGUAGUAUCAAAUUCAAACGAUUCGGAUUGUUUUAAAAAUUUCAAUGCUUUAAUCUAAAUCGAUUAAUCAAUUACACUCUUGCAAUUAUAUACCGUUAAAACUAAAAUAUGUAAAAUUUAGGGUGCAUUUAUUACCAUUUUCAAUUUGUUGUUUUUCGUUUUAUGAAAAGGAAAAUACAGAAAACUUGUUUGGUGAGCUCAUAUUGGUGGAAAACUGUACAGUGAUUAAAAACAAAAAAAAAUUCAUUUUUCAAUGUUUACAAAGGAAACAAGAAAACGCUAUUACACUGGGUUCUCUAUUUUAUUUCACUUUUACUCUCUGCCAAGGCCCUACCAUCUUAACUUUUAUAACAUGGUGUAAUAAAUUACGUGGGCCCAUUUAAUAAAGAAAUAAUCUAAUAAAUAAAUUAUUAUAACAAAUAUUUAAAAAUAAUAGCAUUCCAUACCUUACAGCUUAAUUACUUAAUAUAUUACCCAAAUUAUUUUAAAUAAAAAGUGAUAUCAUAUAAUUAUUAUACUAAAUUAUUACAUUGUUCGACCAAUAUGCAGUUAUUUAAAAAUUACUACAAACUUUCUUACAUAUAUUAAUGAAAAUAUAUCAAUAAUAAAGUUACAUCUUGACAGUUAAUAUAAAUAAAUAUAUGAUAAUUAUGAAAUAAUUAAAGAUUUUCUCAAUUAAUAUUAUCUUAUAACUACAAUUUAUUUACAUAAUUAAAAGUUUUUAAGAAAUUAUUAAAAUAUCUUCAAACCUAUAUGCAUUUAUAAUAAUAUAUAAUACAUCAUAAUAUAAUAACUAAAUAGAUAAAUUAUUUAUUAAUAUAAAAUAUAUGUUUAUAUUCAUUAUAUAAUAUUAUUCUUUCAUAGUAGUUUCAUUAAAUAAUUCUCUACUCUCUCUCUUUUUAUCUUUAUUUUUUCGGACAGACAAGUAACCAAACACCGCUUCACCUUUUUUUUAUUUUCAAAUACUAUUCUUAAAAUAAACUACCAAACAUAUUUUUAUUUUUAACAAAAACUAAUCAUUUUUAUUUUAUAAAACAAAUUGAAAAGUACUAUUUAAAAUAUAAUACCAAACUUACCCUUAAUAAUUUUAUAUUUGUCAAAAAGAUGAGAAGCUAAGUGGCACUAUCGUUUACCUAUUCAAACUAAACGUGGAGUCACAAUAUUGAAGACACUUUGGUGGCCACAACACUCUUUUCUUUAGUACGGAACAAUCUGGCUUACAUGACACUACAUAAAAAUAAAUAAUAAAAAAUCACCGAUUCCAACUGCCCCGGACAAAAAACAGGCCACACGUAAAAAGGCUUCUAUUUUUAUUUUUAUUUCUCCCCAUUUUAAAGAUGACGUCAUGGUGAUUAUGAAACCAGAAAAUAACAAAUUUUAGUUGUCUGAUUUUGUAGUUAUCCAGCGAAAACUAAAAAAACAGUGAACGCAGCAGCAGAUCUCCGUGUUUGUCGUCGUUCGAUGAGAGAUUCCGAUUCGUGAGCAUCGCAAGUGUUGAAAUGGAAUCAGACGAAAUGAGGAGUUAGCCUCUUAUUAUAUAAUAAUAAUAAUGAUAAUAAUAAUAAUAACUAAUCUCUUUUAUCAUAUAAUUGAUAAUGGAAAUUCACAUUGACAAAAGGCAAAUUACACACUGACUGGGCAGAAUAAAAAACAGUCUCUCUCAAAAGCAAUAAUUUAAACACUAACACCACCUUAAGGAGACACCCCAAAAAUAAAGCAGCAAGCUCUUACUGUGACCACACACACACACACACACCAAACUUUUAUUAUAGAAUAAAUCUAAGAUGAUGGAUGAUGGAUGCGUCACAUAAAAGUUAAUUAAUUUAAUCGCUGUCACUGCUGCUGCUGCUCUCGUGUCCGUCCUCGUGCUUCUUCUUCUUCUCCUUCUUUUUCUUCUUCUCUUCACCGUGGGCGGCGCCCUCGCCGCCGCCGACACCGGGGAUCUUCUGCUUGAUCUUGUCCACCAAGCCCUCCUUGUGUUCGCCCUCCUUGUGUUCCCCGCCGUGAUGCUGCUGCUGAUGGUGAACAUCAGUAGUGCCGACACCGGGGAUCUGCUGCUUGAUCUUGUCCACCAAGCCCUCCUUGUGUUCGCCGCCGUGAUACUGCUGCUGAUGGUGGACAUCAGUAGUGUGGUGGUCCCCACUAUGGUGCUCUCCCUUGUGCUUGUCCUCCUCCUUUUGCCCUCCUCCCAUGUGAAGGGCUUCUCCGAUCUUGUGAAUAACUCCUGACAUUUUCCCUUAAAAUGACUCUGUUCCUCUUCUUUUCUUUUCAAUGAAAAAUAGUUGUUUGCGAUCUUCUUCUGGUUGUUGUUGUUCUUGUUGGGUGAUCUUGGCUUGGUAUUUAUAGGCUCCAAAAGGAGGGACUAGAAUUAGGAUUAGAUUAUAGAUUAUUUUAAUACAUUUUAUGGCAAAUUCUGAUUUGGAAAGAUAAGAUUAUCCUUUUGGUUUUCCUUAUUUACCCUUUUGCACCCAUUACGUGUACGCGUCUUCGUGGGCUUUUUGGGUAUUUCAAUUAUAUCGCCAAUGCUAAAUCGACACGUUGCAUAUCAGCCGCGGUACUGCCGUAUGUAGUUGUCCAGAAAUCGAGUCGAUUCUCGAUCGUACAAUAAUUAAAUAAUAUUUCAUACGAAAUGAGUUUAGAUAUAUUUUGAAAAUUUAUUUUUAAUUUAAUUAUACGUGUUAUAUAUUUGUUAAUCGAAUAGAGGUCCCACGUAACAGAGUGUUUCUCUAAUCUUUCAUUGCUUUUAAUUAAUUUUACCCAAAUAAAAAAAAAAAGGAAAAUUUAGAGAGAGAGAGAGAGAUAGCGAAUUAGAAGUUGAUUGUAAUAUCGACACCUGUCAGACAAUCAAAUAUCGUUAGUUAAAAAUCAGUUGUCCAUAGUCAUGGUCAUAGAUGGCGAAAUUGAUACUUAUUUUAAAAAACAAAACAAAACAAAACGAAACGAAACUAAACUAACAGAUGUUGAAAUGCAGUUCCGUGUUAACAGUCUGUGAUGAAUCUUUAUCUUUGAGUAUACCAUUCAAGAAAUUAUCAUUCAAAAAUUUAUUUAAAGCAGCAGCAAAUCACCUUCUAAUUCCUGAAUCAAAUUAAUUCGAUUUUUUUCGAGUCGAUCAAUUCAUUAGAGAAUUAACGGGCUAAGUUAAAGUUUUGUUAGUUAUUUUUUUUUAUAUUCCUUUAGAUGAUAUGAUUGUCAUUGUCUUUCUUUCUCUGGGCAACAAUAAAUACAAGAUGUGCAAAAGCGUAGUGGAACAUAAUUCGAUUAUGGGUAAAGGGAUCAGUCCGCAUAAUGAGGAUAAAGUUUUUCUCUUUAAAAAAAUUUAACCCAAAGAAAAGGUCGUAGUUUGUAAUAGCCGACACGCAGAUAGAUCACAAAGCAUGGCGGUCCUGAUGGCAAUAACUAACUGAUAUCUUCUGCGAUGAGAGGAGAUCACGUGGUUCUGACACGUAUCGCCCCAUCAACUGAUGUUGUGGCUGCAAUCGCGGCCCAGUCUUUAGAGAGAAGAAAGAUCUGUUAUAACGGGACCUACUUUAGCAUCUAUUUACGACAAAGCCCCUAUUUACUCUACUUAGUAGUAAUAAUAGCAAGUGUCGGGCUUGGAUUCCGUGUUGCUUUAAAUAAAUAUCCGCGUAAAAAGAAAAUGCUUCUUUAAUCCCUUCCUUGUAAUUUUUCGACACGUGGAUGGUUGAAAUUAGCGUGCCGACAUCUUAGGAAUUUUAUCUUGGAGACGGGAACACUGCAGUAGGCAAUGCCAUUUUCUUCGGAUGGUGUGUGGUGACAACGCCUUGGAUUUUGACGUGCAAAGAAUUUAAAUUGAAAAAGAAAAAAAGAAAUUACCAGAAUAAGCAUAGAAGAGAUAUUUUUCUUUUUGUCCUUUUUGGAAUGGAAAAAGAGAUCAAGAGAUUGUUCCAGUAAGUAUUACACAUGUCACAGGCUUAUUCAUGCCCCAUUAUGGCAACUUUUAUGCCUCGCGGUGCCCUCGGUUCCAGCAUAAUAGCUAAGACUUCAAUUUUUCUAACAUAUUUUUGUUACAAAUAUGAACGGAGUAAAUGUAUAACUUUAAUCCUUUGAAUAAAGAAAUGGCGGUUCUCCUGCUCGUUAAUCUCACUUGAAUCCCACCCAGGCAAAAUUUCUUUAUUUUAUUUAACAACAAUUUAAAGAAAGAAACUUUUGCCAGGUUGAAUUUCAAGUGAGAUUCAUUCGUGGGAGAAGUGCCAUUUCUUUAUUCAAAAGAUUAUGGUAAUUACAACUUUCAAUUUCGACAUAAAUUAAAAUUAUAGGCUAUACAAUAAAAUUGCCCUAAAUUAGUCCUAAUCAAUUCAGAUUAUAAAUUUAGGUAUAUUUAUUAUUUUAAUAUAUUAAUGUUCUAUAUAUAUAUAUAUAUAUAUAUAUAUAUGUGUGUGUGUGUGUGUAUNNNNNNNNNNNNNNNNNNNNNNNNNNNNNNNNNNNNNNNNNNNNNNNNNNNNNNNNNNNNNNNNNNNNNNNNNNNNNNNNNNNNNNNNNNNNNNNNNNNNNNNNNNNNACAGCAGAAAAUAUUUGCUAUGGAUAAGGAGACAUGGUCCCACGUCCCACCGUCCCAAUGCAUAUUUUGUAUGUUUCCAUCUUUUCUGAAAUUUUAAUAAAUAAAGUUUUUUGACCACUUGGCCAAAGAACCUUACCCUUACACAACUUUGUGGUUGGAGUCCUGUGAUACAUGUAAGAACUUAUUUUUUUUCUUAAUUAUAAUAUUUUAGAAUAUAAUUAAGUGAAGUAGGUUUUUUUUUUAAAUAUGAGUAAAAUAGAUAUUUUUUAAAUAUUAAAGAGAGUAAAAUUUGAAUAAUAAUAUAUUAAAAUUAAUACAAACUAAUUUUAAUAAUUAUUUAAUUAUAAAUAUCAAUUAUAACAUCAUAUAAUAUCAAUUAUAAUAUCGUACAUCUCAAUUAAUUCAAUAAUAAUAAUAAUAAAUGUUUUUUGGGAUAAGUAAACAGUCGCAUGGCGACAAUAGUGGAUCUGGAUUAGAGUGAAGUGGUCCCAAGAGGCUGAGGCUGUGGCUGUGGAGUUCUAAAAGUCAAAAGCUCCACGCACUUUGUUUCAGUACCAUACACACUGAAAAAAUUUGCAUUUGCAAUGACGAAAACUUUUCACGAAAUCAAAACACCUCUAAACUAUUUUGUUAUCGAUAUUUAAUGGAGGGGUUUCCUACCUUUUUAACACUCGAUUCACGCCUUGACGCAUCUCACAGAAAACCUCAUGAUCCCAUUAAUCUUGCGUAACAUAUCUCAAAGCCAAUGCAAGUGAUCUUGUUGCCUACUUCCCUUUGACGAUUCAAAAUUGUUGAAAAUAAUUCUUUUUUUUUUUAACCUCAAGGAAGUGACAAAAUAUAAAAGAAUAUUUUCUACACAUUAAACAUCUAGAUUUUUUUUUCUUUUCUUUUUAGAGUACUUGCACAAACCGUUUCCAAGAGAGACCUUUUUUUUUUUUUUUUUUUUCCGGGCUUGGUUACUAAUUUGGUGUGAAUACUCUAUGGUGAAAAAGGAAUCACAAAGCUGUAAUCAAUUUUUUUGCAUCAUUUAGUUGUAACUUGAACAUUGGGAGGUUUAUAAAGAAUUAAAUUAAUUAUAAUGCCUCUACUAGGAAAAGUUCAGAGUAGCCCUUCACAACUUUUUAAAGGCUUAAUAAUUUUCGCUUUCUUCCUCUCAUAACAUAACAAAAAAUUAAGAGCUUUACUCGUACACGUCCUAUGGCUAUAUAGUAUUGGGUUCUCUACUUCAAUCGGCUAUCUCAAACCGAAGGUUAUUUGGACACACCAGCAGUCACGUUUGGAAACUCUCAAAUGCUUGGAUUGUAAUUCUUGUGGAUGAGAUCAUCUAAAUCUUGGGCCCAAGCCGGACAAUGGGUGGACAAAGAACCCUAAAAUACAGUAAAGCUUCUAACACCCCACUAAAACUCUUAAGAAAUCCUACCUUUUAUUUUUAUAUCUCUUUCUUUUAGAAAUUAUAGAGAAGACAUAGCAUUUUAAUUAUUUUCCCUGCCAUUGAAAAUAAAUUCUGUAAACAUAUUUUUUCAUAAUAAAAUUAUUGUUAUUAGAUAAUUUAUUUCUUCAUUGUUUCAAAAUUAUUAUAAUUUUAUCAACAAAAUUAGUUAUGUCAUAUAUUAGGAUUAAAAUUAAUUAGGAUCCAUAACUUGUAAAGACAUUUUAGUUUAAUUGAAUUCAUAUUUGUCAUUUUAUGUAAUUUUCAAUAAAAAUACGACUAUGAGUGCAAAAGUGGGAUGACAUAAUAUUAAAAGAGUGUGAAAUAAUCGGUAAUUGAAAUGGAUUGAAAUCAUAAUAGAGUAUGAAAAUCAGAAUAAAUUGUUUACUUUAGUUGUAGAAAUCAAAAUUAAAAUAAACCAUAUUAUCAUUGAUGUAUAUAUGUUUUCUUGUAAUCGAAAUGAAUUCUUAUAAGUUACUAUAAGACCCUUAUGGUGUGUUUACUAAUCAGAAAUCAGAAUGGAGUGGAAUUUGAAUAUAGAAUGGUAGGGGUAUUCGCGGAUCGGAUUUUACGGAUUGGACAUUAAUUCAUAUCCGAUCCAUAAUUUUACGGAUUAUAAAUUCUCAACACAAUCCAAAUCCAAUCUAUAUGUUUGCAGAUCGGAUGCGGAUUUGACUCAAUUCAUAUCCAAUCCACUAUUUGACGGAUUGAUUUUGGAAUUAAAAAUUUUUAAUUUUGUCCAAUCUAUGAGGUAAUUAAAUUUAAAAAUCUAAUAUAAAAAUAAUUUAUUAAAUAAAAAAUUAACGUAAAAAUAAUUUUACUACCAAUUAAAUUCAAAAUUGAACAAGAUUUAAAUAAAUUAAUUAUUUAAAUAAAACUAGAAUAAUUUAUUUAAAAUUUUUAAAUAUAACAUAUCGAAAAAAAAUUCAUUUGUUUAGAUUAAUAUAUGAAAAUUAACUAAAAUUAUGAAUUUAAAUGUUGAAAUUUGAGAGCUUGGAUGUAACAGGAAGAAAUUAAGAAACUUGAAGAACUUGAAAAGAAAGUAACAAAUUAAGCUUAACUACCUCUAAUGGUGAAGUGAAACAGUGAUGGUUUGUGCGUGCAAUGGGGUACAAAUUUGGCAUUAUAUGCCAAAAUAUUUUGUUUGGCUUUAGAAUUUUUAAUGUUUAGGAAGCUAUAUUUGUUUAUUUAAUUACUCAAAUAUUUAAUUAUUUUUUAUUUUAUGUUAUUAUUGAAUAAGAUAUAAUAUUGUGUUAAUUUAGCUAUACUUUAAUUAAUUAAUUAAUUUAUUAGUAAGUAGCAUUGCUACAUUUAUAAGUUUUAUUUUUUAUUAAAUAAAUACUUUUUUUUUUCAGAUUCACGAAUUUUUACGGAUUUACAGAAAUAAAUCCAUAUCUAAUCCAUCGACUGUGGUUUUUUAAAUUUUCAUUCCAAUCCGAUCUACCAAUCCACAAAUUAUAUUUUUACGGAUCGGACGAAUUGAGCGGAUCAAAUUGGGUUCUGAACACCCCUAGAGAAUGAGAAUCAAAAUAAAUUAUUUACUUUAGUUGUGUGAAUCGGAAUUGGAAUAAAUUGUACUGUCAUUGAUGUGUUUACUUUAUCUUGGAAUCAGAAUGAAUAAUUUCAAAUUACUAAACUGACCUUAAUUUUUUAUUGUAAUAAUAAUAGUAGUAGUAGUAGUAAUAGUAGUAAUUUUCUAUUAUUAUUAUUAUUUUCUCUCUCUUUUGUUUUUAUUUUUUUAUUUUUCUCUUCUUCUUCUCUUCCUCUUUUUUUAUUUUUCUCUAAUUCAUCGAUACUUCUUCUUCUUCUUUUUUCUUUCGUUUUUAUUUUUAAUUUUUCCCUUCUUUAUCGUUCCUUCUUCUCCGUCCAUUCUCUAUCUUCAAACUCUUUUUACUUUUUCUCUUAUUCUUCAUUACUUCUUCUCCCUUUUUUUUUUUUUUCUCUUCUUUAUUAAUUCUUCUUCUUCUGCGUCUAUUCUUCAUCUUCAAAUUAUCAAGUGAAAAAUACCCACGGUGCCUUACAAGAAGAAUUGGUUUUGUUUGCUUCAAUUAUUUUUUGUAUUUUGUACUUUUGAUUGUUUCAAAAGAGGAUAAACUUGUAAUAAUGCAAUUUAAGUAGGGAUGUUUUAGACAAUUUUGGGUAUGAGAGUCUAAUUCCCAACCCCCCACUCCCUCGUAGCAGACUCCCAUUCUUCAUUCCUAACUUGGUGUUGGACCUACUAAAAUAAAUCCCAUUCCCCUUCUUAUUUCAAGAAGCAAACACGAUUUUGAUUUCAAUUCCCCAAUCCGAAAGUAAACGCACAAAAAUUGUACCCAUAUGAGAUUGCUUAUCCUCGAGUUUUUAGAUUGAAAAAAAAAAAGGAAAAAAGAAUGGCCCCAUUAGGAAGGGAUUUUAAGUGUUAGAUAAAGCCGGUGUUAACCAUUAGAAGGUCUCCGACCUUCAACUGUAAUAUAUUAAACCCAGAUAAAUUUACAUAUAAAUCACACAAACCAACAUGCCAAUCAAAUAAAUUACAUCAACUAACAACAAUUGACACAUUAAUUUUCAUAAUACAGAGGAUGCAGAAAAUUAAAAUGUUUUAUCUUUUCUCCUUAUUUGUGAAUUGGAAAAUGAAAAUGUUAAACAUACAGAAGAGUGAAACAGGAUGGAUAUAUAUACACACACACACACACACAGCUUUGGAGUUCAAUGUCAUCGUAUUGCUCCAAGAAGAUUGGCGCCAUCAAGCUUUGCACCUUCCAGAUGCUGUUUAAUCAUCACCAUAACACCUUCAGUAGACAUUAAUACAUAAUAGAAACACAAAAUUCACAUGAUCUGAAUGUCUGGUCUAUUUUACUUACCGUAUCUCGAAGAUUUACGUGCCGUAAAUAAGCUCUUUGAAGGUUGGCACCCUUUAAAUUGGCAUUACGUAGCUUUGCACCCUGCCGCAUAAAUGUUCGAAGUUUCAACAAAUUAAAGUCUCCUGAGAAAUACAUGUCACGAAAAAGUAGGGCUGAAACUUGCAUCUAAUGUACAAGAUUCAAUCAGGGGUGCUUGUCCCACAGUGAAAGUGUAUGGGGGAAAGUGCACUUUCACAAACCAAAGGGGCAAGAUGUGAUUAUCACACGAUUACAAAAGGACUGUAGUCAAGAGAGAGAACUGAACAUGCAGCUUGUAUUGAGGCCAUGAAAAUUGAUGAAAAGCAGUAACAAGCAACCAUUUUGAAAACACUUCAUAUGGUCGAAUCAAUAAAUCAAAGCUAAAAUGAUGUUGACGAUCGAUAGCUUUUAGGUGAUAAGAGUCUUGGCACUACAGUUAAAAUUAUUAUCUAGGAGUGCACACAUUAAUAAAAAAAAACACAACCAAUAAGCAUGCACUCUUAAUCAGCAUAUAAAUUAACAAGUUAGUUGCACCUUAUGUUGUUCCACAAACAGAUUGCUCGAACAAUUCACAAUCUUACCUU